UCGAUUGCUUCUGCAGACAAUGUCAAGGGUGGCAGGUACGAUGGAAACCUCUCUACAUGGGAAAACUCCGACACUCCACCCCUUUCUUCUUGGAAACCUGCCUAGAAACAUGUCUACUUCUUUUGCUGCGUCUUUGAUAUGCAGAGUUUGUGCAUUUGCCGCUGAAGUAAUUUGAGGCUAUGUUGUGUGGCUUUUAUAAGUAUGUGUAAUAAGAGUGACUGUUUUCGUUUUGUACAACAUGUGACAUUCACUAUGAGAAGAUUAUGGAUAUGUACUAAGCUUACUGGGGAAAGAUCACUCGAUAAACACAAGAGCGAGUUGAAUAUGAACUGAGCCUGCCAUGCCGACUUUAUCGGGGUGACUUUUAGAAUCUGAGAAAUCGGGAUUUUGAAGAAUUCAAACUCAGUCGUACAUACUAAGUGACGCUUUAUUCUCCUCCAACCAUGAGUUCAAUACUAACACCGUGUGCAACAUACUCUUAAGACUGGAUGCUACACAUAGAUACAAUGCUUCGCUUUGUGUUUGGUUUGGUAGCGAAGUAAAGGAACAGUAAAAUGUUACCGGAUGUUCUCGCAAAAACAAAGUUUGGGAUAAAAUGCUGGCGUAGUUGAUAUGAGUGUCGGGGAAAUCAAAGGUUUCUUGUUCAAGUUUCACCACCUACGGUGCAUGAGCUUUUAUGUAGCUCGAUACCUUUGCUCAUGCCUCUGCAUUAUUAUAAAACAGUCGGAGAUAUUGCGCAAGUUUCCUAAAAUUAAAAACGACACUUCUAUUGUUUUUUAUUUGGAAUUAGAGUGGAGCAAUGUUGUUUUGUUUUGGUUUAGGAAAAUAACGCAAAUAGUCAUUAAACUUUGGUCCAAUGUGUUAUGUUCUUACUGAACUUUUAAUUUAUUUAGUAUGGUUGUCGAACUUUUUGUACAUGUUUAAUUUAGAUCCUAGGCUAGAUAAAUCUAAUGACGCUGUGUUUGGUCGUUCGAACAUCUUUGCUAUAUGGGAUAAUGAUAGGAUAAAAAUCCCAUCUAAUAUUUCUUGACGUCCGGAUAUAACAUGAUUCAAAUAAAACAAAUUUAAAUGAGUGUUUGAUUUGUAUAAUUAAAAUUAAAAGUAAACCAUGGAAGUCGUGAAUAGUAUUCAUCCUUUCACAAUCUUCAUCGAUAUUAAACACCCCCGUUCCAUGUGACUUCAAGGACGCUCUCCUUCUGCAACGCCCCUUUCGCUGCCCUUGAUCAACUUGAUGGAUUACGCUCGCUCUACCUUUGACUUCGCCACAUUGAGAGGCCCUUGGGUUUGAGUUCUCCGCUGGUCUAGCCAUCUUUACUUUCAACGCCUUUUCCUGCGAUGAAUCCAUCCCCUUCGAUGAGUGUGAAUACUGCGUUGAUUCCCUGUUACCGUGUCCCGACUUGUUCAGUCACUUCAACAGCUUCCCCGAGACAGCGUGCGGAUCCGGUUUAUGAGUGGUAGCAGCAUCGGUACAACUCGCUCCAAGUGACGUGGUUGAGGAGCUCUAUCACCUUGGCUGCUGCCUCUUUCGGAUCAUCUUCUUCACAGAGGAGGUGUCCAGCUUUGAUCGGGAUCACAAAGUUCCCAACUAAAAUGGAGUUAAGUGACAUAAGAAAGAGGCAGGGCUGACGAGCUCCGGCGCCACUUUUCCGAGGCAGCCAAAGGUGGUAAGCAGCUUGUCACUGGUAGGAGGAACGGUGGCCCUUAGAGUUUGCUCAGGUCGUUGUGGCGAGGGCUUCUCUAGGUAUCUUCGUGAUACUCAUGCUUUAAGUUUGUGGUGGUCAUUUUAGCGAGAAAAAUCGGAACGAGAGAGAGAUGAUGGUGGCACUGGUAAAAAAUGAGGAUAAGCCAUCAACAAGCGCAGGAGUGGGGGAAAAACUUGUAUCCCUUAUUUUUUCAAUUUUCCAAAUUUCACAUAUCCUAUCUAGAUCUAUAUCACUUUUUAGAUGGGAUUUUUUAUCCAGACUAUAUCUAAAUUUCACUAACAUCGGGACCCCUAGAGUGCCAAAAGUUUGCACAAAAAGACAAUUAAGUGUCAAAAGUUAUGAAAAUGACACUUAAGUGCUAAAAUUGGAAUAAAAUAGAUCACUUAAGUGCAAAUCUGGUCAAAAUAUUGACAUGACAAUUUUCCAGCAAAACAAGUGCAAAACGGUGUCGUUUUGGUGCUGACAUGGAAAAAAUUAAUACAAAAAUUAAUUAAAUGAAAUUUAAAAUUAAAUUUAAUUAAAACAUUUAAAAAUAAAAAUACAAAAAUUUUAAAAAAGGAGAGAGGCGGUUGAGGGCUGAGCCCUUGUCGCUAGGAAGGGUCGGAGAUGGAGGGGGGAGGGUUAGCCGGGGUUGCCGGGCCCUAGGCCAGGGGCCGGCGACCUCGGCCAACUGGUGGCAAGGGCCCGCGAGCCCUCGCCUAGUUUUGGGGCGAGGGUUGCGGCCCUCACCUAGUUGAGCCAAGGGCCGCCGAUCCUCGCAGAAUCUGGGUGAGGGCUGCAACCCUUACUAGAUUUGGGCAAGGGCUCGUGAGCCCUCGCUGCCGGUUAGUUGGGGUCGCUGGCCCCUAGCUAGGGCUCAGCGACCAUGGUUGACCCUCCCCCCUCCGUCGUUGACCCUUCACGGUGACGACAGCGAUGGCUCAACCCUUAGCUACCUCCCCUCCCCCCCUCUUUGUCUCUCUGUCUCUGUCUCUCUCUGUCUAUAUAUAUAAAUAUUUAUGAUUUUUUAAUACUUGUAUUUGUAUUUUUAAAUGUUUUAAAUAAAUUUAAUUUUACAUUUAAUUUAAUUUACAUUAUUUUUUUACCAUAUUAACACCAAAACGACGUCAUUUUUGCAUUGUCUAGCUACGACAGUGUGCAAAAUGAUGCCGUUUUGCACUUACUUCGCCAGAAAUUGCGUACAUCAGAGCCAUGAUUUCGUUUGUAAUAAUAUCCGUUCCAUAUGCUUAAUAGGUGAAUCCAAUGCUGAGAAGGUUUCUUCACAUCAUGACAGAUCUAGAAAUACUAGAAGCAUCUGUUUCUCUUACUGCAUCUCCAUCUUUUUCAACCCCUUCAGAUUUUCAUGUUUUAAAUGCUUCUAAGAUAUACUAUCUCUAUGAAAUCUCUCUUAGCGAUGAAACCAAAAUCUCUGAAACUUAACUUUCCCUGAUGAACUCAUAUUUUGCUUUUGCUAAACCCACCUCAUCCUUUUCUCCCAUUCGUUCCAUUCGCCAACUUAUUCGCCAAACUCCAAAGGAAGUAAAUGAGUACGUUAAGUCCUUCAAGUUCGACCAACAUCCCAUUCUCGCCAUUGAAAAUGAGUACUUUGUUACUCUCUAGAUUCCUCCAGAGUUUCCUAGGCAAUAGAUUCAAAAAGGAUAGUCUCAUGUCCAUUAUGGAGUUGUUCGUCUUGCUCUUACUUUUUAUGGCCGCAAGGGCUUGCCAGUUGUGGCAAGAAUAGCAUUACUGGAUACUAGAUUUCUAAAGUACUAGUAUACUUGUAUCAGUACUAUCCAAACCACUUUAAAUGUUGGAAUAGUUUUUGUGACUUUGUAUCCAAAUUUCAAUUUGCUCUUUCAAAUCCACAGUUACUUUCCUUUUUGAAAGUCUAAGUUUAGCUCACUGGAGCACCUCAGACAGCUGAUUCUGUUGUUGCAACACUACACUACUAGAUCGUUUAUUAAGUGCAGAACCAUGCUCUUGACUUGAAUUUCCACAAUGAAAAUGAAGAUGCUUUAUUCAUCUCCAUGCAAAAUGAUCAUGCAUCCUGCAUUCAUGUUCCCAGACAUAUCCCAAAGGAAAAGUUGCCAAGCUUCUUCUAGAGACUUGGAUCACUAACUAUGAAAAGUUACAUCAGAAUAACAAACCUUUCUAGUCUUCAGACUUUGAAUUUGUCAGAAAGAAAGAUGGAACUGUUUCCAUCAAAUUUGGCAAGGAAAAUAAAGAAAUUCUUUUUAUCUUCCAAAUCCUCUUUAUGAUCGAACCAUGUGUUCCGAGCUAGAUAAAAAAAAAAGAAGCUUGUUUAAUACUUCAAAAGUGAUUAACAUCAUGUCCAUUACUACAAAGACUAGUAUGGUCACUGUUUCUAAGAUCCUUUUUGUCAAUGUUCUUUUUGCACAAACUCUCCCGACGAGGUAGACCCAUAUGCAAGACCUCGACGGAAGCAUAAGAAGCCAAAAGAUCCUAUGUACCAAAGGUACUUGAAUGGAGAUCCCUCCGUUGAUACUCUUGGUGAGUGUGAUAAAUUCUAGUUUAUGGUUUCCUAUACACCAACUCCACCACCAGAGUUCAUUACUCCACUAAUAUCACCAAGUUCAUCACCAUCACCUCCUCCAUCUCCUCCAAAAAAAAAAGAAAACCAACUCUUUCCCCAUUUUAUAAGCCAAUCUUAAAGUGGGCGAAUAAAUAUUCCUACCCACUUGAGGCUCUAGCAGAACACCACCAAGUUCUUUCAUAGCCAUGUUCCAUGAGACAUACUUUCCUCUUUUUAUUCGAGAAAGUUAUAAUCUCGUUUCCUGCUCCAAAAGAAUUCAUUGAUCUACAAGGCAGAUAUCGGCAUGCCCCUAAGAUACCUACCCCCACUGAUGUGGAUGGACAUGGAAGAUAGAAAAGGACUCCUGUUGUUGAAGCUGUCCUAAAUUGGCAAUCGGAAACUCUUUUAGCAUAUAACAAUGCGUUCAAAGCAAUUGAUUCCAAGAUUGUAAAUGUGCAACAAGAUUUUCGAAAUAUGAUGAAACCACCAAGAAGAUGCUUUCAGAUUUCCAAAAGAGGCUUCAUGCCUUGGAAUCUAGAUAACAUUUAGGGUGUCAUCAUCUCGAAAGUCCUAAGGUGGAAAUAGAGAAGCUCAAAAGGCAAAUUCAACUCCUUGAAGAAGGAAGAUUCAAUCCAUUUCCGACUACUUUGCGGACAGAGCAUCCCCCUCUUCCACUAGCCCAUAACACAUCUAUCUUUGUUGCUAUCACAGAUGUUCUUGUUAGGCAAGAUAAGACAAAUGUGGCUGAAAUGCGAAAUCUUCUCAAAGAACUGGACUGAAUAAGAAAAGAAAAGGGAAAAGAGAAGAUGCCUAAAGAAUCCUUGCUUGUCAUAAGGAAAAAGCCAGAUCAAUUGAUGCUGUCGAAUCUAUUAGAAUCUUUCCGAAGAGAUUUGGGUAAUCAGGAAUCACAGUCUGAUCUUGUUACUCAACAUCUUGAUCCCGUCAUUCCAACAGAUCAGAUUCUAUUUUCAGCAGAACUAGCUUUUCCAAAUAUCUUUGAUACUGAAUUAAAUUCGGUAUCCCUCUUGUCCUCCUCAUCCUUCUCAAUCCCUACCAUUGAUUCCUUCCCUAUUGUACUAGUAAUUUCAUCAAUAUUCAUGAUCGAUCAUCCGGACCAAGAUAUGGAAUCAAACCAUUCUGAACCAAAGGUUGUUUAGCCAAACAAUCCCUCCCAGCACGUGUAUUUUGCAUCAAAAUAGUUUAUUUAUUUAUUUAUUUAUCGUUGAUGACAUUCCCUAUCACAAAUGGCCAUAAAGACUUGAAGAAUUUCAUACUUGGUUAAAUACCCAAACCCUUACCAACCAGGAUAAGUAUGAUGUCAUUUUUGAUUUUGUCACAAGGUUUACAGGUAGCCUCAAAUAUUGGUGGCAAUCUGUGUUAGAACAAGACCGGCUUCAAUUUUUACUCUCACUUGAUUUUGGUCAUGCCAUUAUCCUUCUAUAUCAUUUCUUUGUGGGAAAACCUUUUGACCUCCAAGAGCUUAAAAGGAGAGAAUUUUUCGAAAGAAGAUGCUGCUUCUUCCAGAAAAAAACAUCUUGAUAAAUAUUAUCGAGAAAUGUUUAAGCUCUUCUAUGGUAUUGGAGCUGAUCCAAACCAGAAACGCAUCUUCUUGACUUCCAUCCCCAAAGAAUUGUCUCAAUAGGUGGAGAGAACUUUUCUCAGCAAACAAAGAAGGAUUCAGGAUAUUCCGUUAGGAGAAAUCUAACAAGAAAUUCAUUUGUGCCUUGAAGAAUUGUGUAUCAAAUGCCAAAUGAUCCAGACUUAUGUCGACAAUAACAGAGAACUUGAUAUAGCAUGUUCUCGCCAUAAGCUAAAGAUCAAAUGUUCAAAGCGAGAUUGUGAUGGUUCUUGCGGAAAAUUUUCCAGAAAAAAGCACUUCAAGAAGCUCUGGAUAAUGAAAUCUAGGCGUGGCUCUAAGCAUUUUUGAAGAAAGAAGAAAUGGCGACACCUAUGCAAAAGGAAAGAUCACUCAGGCCACAAGAAGUCAAAUCAAUGCUUCAUCUGCAAUUAGAAAAGACAUUUUGCCAAAAAUUAUCCCCAAGCGAGAAAAUGUCAAAAUCAUAUGAUAUAUCAUAUAGAGAAUGAAACAGGUAAUUCUCUUGAAAAUGAUAAUAUCGAAUCUUUAUUAUCUGAGAAUGAAGAACCAUCUGAAUAAACUCUUUGUGUCAUUCCUUGUUACGAAACUUCUAGUGAAAUUGAUUCGGAUUCAAAUCCUGAAGAUAUUUUUCACAUAUCUCUCACUUCUUCAGAAUAAAGCACUAACAUAUUUUCAAGCUAAAUUCAUUGUCCCCAUUUCCCUGUGAAAAUCUUCACUUCAAAGUUUGCCAAGCCUUUCAUUGUCAUUGCUCUCAUAGAUACUGGAGCAAGUUCUUCAAUCUUGGACACCAAAGUUAUUCUUGAAGAAUAUUGGACUUCCUAUGUUUGAUACUUCAAUUCUACCUCAGGAGAUACUUUUUCUACGAAUGUAAGAACUACCCUAGUAAUCAUCUAAUUUUUUCCACAGUGUUCCAUAACCAUAAAAAUCUCUGGUUCCAGUCUUCCCCACAAGGAUUUGAUCAUUGGCUGGGAUAUCAUGACUAAAAUUUCUCAACUUCGUAUCAUUUCUAGAAAAUGUCUUAAGUAUAAGGACUAAUUUUCUAAAUUCGUCAAUAUCCAAAGACUUUUUUUCCAUCCAAAUGAGCCUGCUAGACCCCAUCAUGCAAAAGUUGUUAAAAUCAUGUUUGGAAUUUCAUUUUGAAUUUGCUCAAAAAUGUUCUCACCCUCUAUGGGAAAAUUUAGAGUUCUUUGUUUGCCUUCCUUUUUUAAAAAAAAAUGAGGAUAUCAAUCUAAACAAGGCGAGUUACAUGGGAAUGAAGUCAGAACACUUGGUUUUAACUCAAAGGGAAUGUUCGGAACUAUUGCAGCAAUGCCUUAUUGAAAUCUCCAAUUCUCAAUGGGCCUGUGAAGCUUUUUUAUGUCAAUAAGCGUGCCGAACAAAAUAGAGGAAAUAUGAGAAUGGUAAUUAACCAUCAGCCUCUUAACAUUUUUUUCCAAGAUGAUAAAUUCCCUUUACUCUCCAGAAAUUCCCUAUUUACUAGAUUAUCCAAAGCCCAUAUUUACUCUAAAUUCAAUCUCAAAGCCAGAUUUUGGCAAUUGUGCAUCCAUCCUAAAUACAGACCCAAGAUAGGGUUCUGUAUCAUGAACCAACAUUUCCAAAUGGAAAGUUAUUCAUUUUGGUCUAAAGGUGGUACUAUCCUUAUUCCAAAAGGUCAUGUGUCGAAUUUUCCAACUAAUUUUGUCAAGUGCAGUAAUAUACAUUGACGAUAUCGUGCUUUACAAUCUUAAUGAGCAGUCACACUGCCAACUUCUUAAACAGUUUGUAGAAAUUGUGUAAAAGCAUGGGAUCAUGCUUUCUCAAAAAAAGAUGAACAUUGUCCAUAUAUAAAUUGAAUUUCUUGGUAUGACCUUAACAAAGGUAUGUAUUAUCCAUGGCCAUAUAUUGCUCAUGAAUUGUUGAAAUUUCCUGAGGAAAAUUUCACAACAAAGCAAGUUCAGCAAUUUCUUGGAAUAAUUAAUUAUCUCAAAGAUUUCGUUCCAAACAUUGCAGAACUGUUGAUUCCAUUGAAAUUGAUGCUGAAAAAGAAUCCCCCACCUUGGAGAAAAUCUCAGACUAAAGCAGUCGUCGAACUUAAGGAGAUUAUGUAGACUCUUCCUCUGUUACAAAUCCCAUCGAUAAGGAAGAUAAUUCUCUAGAUCGGCGCCAGUGAUGAAUACUGGACAGCCAUCUUGUUUGAAGAAAUUGAUGGUAAGAGACAUCUGUGUACCUAGAAAAGUGGAAAAUUUUCCCAAGCUGAAAUGCAUUAUCAUUCCACUUUCAAAGAAAUCUUGGUGAUGAAAAAUGGAAUAAAAAAGUUCGAAUUCCAUCUCAUUGGCCAUCACUUCAUGGUAAAAUUGGAUAUCCUCAGAUGAUCAAGUUCAAACAGAAGCAGAUUUCGAAUUUUCAACUGCUUCAAUGGGCUGAAUGAUUUUCAAAAUACUCUUUUGAAACCAAACAUAUUGCCGGAAAAAAAAAUGUGCUUGCUGACUUCUUGUCAAGACCAAAAGCACCAGUAAAAAUCAACAUGUACAUCAUGAGGCAUGCUUUUCAUAUUCUUCAUAACAAUGAAAAGUAUAAGAUUGAAAGAAUACAAGACUAGUCAAGCUGGCAAUAUUACUAGGAGAUUGUGGAACAAAUCUAGAAUGACUGCCUUAUUGAAAAUUUGGAUAAUCUCAUGUGGCAAUUCCACACAGAUCUGUUUAGAUUUAAUGGGGGUUCGAUUCUUUAUCUUUUUAGAUUAAAUUCAGACUAUCCGUUCAUACAUCCUUUAAUCUGGAAGGAAGAUAAUUUCCCUGACCAACUUCGAUGGUUAUUAUGGUACUUAACCAAUAAGUACUGAAUAGUAUUGAAAUUCCAACUAGAAGAUUUAUUACCAACCUCACUAGGAUAUUUAGACUUGGCAGAUGAAACAUUGAAAAAGAGAGUGACAGAAAUCUCAUAGGUUUCCUUAAUUGGUUUUAUCCCUCUACUCACUGGAAAUACCUCUUGCAGAAAGAGCUGAGAACCACACAACUAAACCCUGAGGUCCAUAUUAUUUUGUUUUUUCGACGACCGUGGGCUUUUGUCACAAAUAAUGGUAGCAGUAGCAAUGCCCCCCAAAUUAUAGGUACCACAUCCUAUAAACCUCAACCACAUAGUGUAGAAGCUCAGAUUUACAAAUCUUAUUUAGAACCCGUUGGUUGCUACGAGCACCAGUAUCGAGAACUCCAAAGGAUUUUGUACUAGGAAAAUAAAAUCAUUCCUAAAGAUGCAUGGAACUAUAAUGUACCCACUGUAUGAGAUUAUUAUAGUCUCACACUAGAAGUUAAGGAAGCACUCGAAAUAUUCAGACAAGUUACAUCAUCACAGGAGCAUGAAAUGGCAGACACAGAUGACAUCGCACAGUCCUCUCAAGAUCCCUAUGUCAAAUGGGGAGGUCCUCUUUCUCAAGAUCCCUAUGACCAAGAAACUUUGUCCUUAUCUCAAAGCAUUGACACAUCCUACUAUACUCAGUCAUCCAAUUGGUCUCAGCUAAGCAUUCUUGCCAACACUACAGGCUCCUCUUAGAAUCAAGCGAAAGCAUCCUCGUCAAAUCAAAUUCUCUCACCAGAUUCACUUGUAGGACUUGAGAAAAAAAUAUGAAGAAUAGCUUAUGUCAAUGUAUAGUUCGGACGACUCAGACUAUGACUAUAAUGCUCGUGAUGGACGAGACUAUUGACCGUACAAGUCACUGUAGCAAGUCACUUUUCACUUUCAUUGUAGCAGUAGACUAGGGAAAUAACUGUUCAUUAUCAAUGUUCAUAUCGUGCGAAUAAUCUCCUAUGCCUUUAUUUGUUUCAAGAUUGUGAGAAUGAUCCUUGUUUAUGUGUGACCUCUUAUUGCCUAUAAAAGACAAGAAUGAUGUAAUGUGUUGGGCAGAGUCCCUUGAAGUAAAGUGAGUAUUUUGUGUAAAACUCUCUAUGGCUUUAUAAACUUAUCUUCUUCUCCAGUCUGGUAGGAUCAUUUGAGAAAUGUAGUUCGGAUAGUUAGAAAUGUUACCAUCCUGGUUCUAUAUGAGUGUUUCUAGACUCUGAACUAAAGGGAAGAGUGGUUUUAUGUUAAAAGGCUGUCUCUGAAGGGCUUGAACGGAAGAGGUUCACCUACUGUGGGGUAUGCCAACUUUUGGCACUUGAAAUAAUCUUUUGCCGAAUUUCACGUUACUCUAAACACCGGAUAUGAUCAAACUUUUACUAUCAAAGUUUUAUCUAGCCCAUCAAAGGCAGUCUUAUGAGAUAGGAUGCAAUGAUAUAAUCUAUGAAUUAGAUCAAACAUUUAUUAAAAGUUUAAGAACGAUAUUUCAUUUUUUGAAUGUUAGGAUGCACGAGUAAGUUAUGUUAAAACAAUCCCACAAUAUAUUGAUAGCUUUGAAAUAAGGCUUUCUCUUGGUGAUGACGAAGAUCCAUAUGGAGAAAUUAAUGGGAGGGUUUGUUUGGCCUAACUAAAUGAGAGGCUAUAUCAGUGGGAGGUUUUUCAUUGUAACCUUGUGCUUGGUAUUUGUAUUUUAGUAAAGGAUUUUGUUAGCAUAAUAGUUUCUGAGUUAUUGUGAGAAUAACAACUUAUUAUGAGUUACAAAAUUUUCUCUUUCUUUUUUUCUUCACUUCCUUCUCCUUCCUCCAACCAAUCAUCACUAGUGAUUGGCAAGAGGCAAGGUUGGUGAGGUACCUCGCUGGUCUCGAGGAAGCUUGACCAUGGUUAGGCAACCUUGCUCAUGGCUAGGCGACCUCGCCUAGGCCGCCAACUGGGCUGGUGAGGGUUGACCCUCGACGGCCAUGGGUGAGGACAAAUGCCGCUAGUUGGGCUUGCGAGGCUCGCCCUUAUUGAAUUUGGCGAGAGUUGAGUCUCAUUGGCCAUGGGUAAGGUCAAAGGCCGUGACCUCACGUGGUCUUUGGUGAGGCUUGCCAAAGGUUGGGCAAGGCUCACCGUCGUUGGACUGAUGAGGGUCGAGUCUCGUCGGCCAUGGGUGAGAUUGCAACUUGCCCAUGGCCGGCGAGGUGAGCCUAGGCCAAAGGCAGGCGAGACCUUGCCUAACCAUGGCGAGGGUGGCCUCACCAUUGUUGGGUGAGGCUCACCCUUGCUAGUGGUGUGUGGGGGUAAGCCUUGCCAUUGGUUGGCGAGGCUAACCUUGCUGGCUUGAGUAAAAUAAAAUAUUAUUAAAAGAUUAUCUACAUCAAUAUUAGUUGGACGAGCGGUGUUGGUCGGCCAAAAUUUCUGAAUGAAUUGAAUAGUAUAAUUGCAAAAUGUUUGGGAUUGAAUUGGCUAAAAAAAAAGGUCUAAGUUUGAAUUGGAAAAAUUACAAUAAGUUUAUGAUUGUUUUGGUACGUCCUCCCUAUAUGGGAAGGAUCGUGACUAUGCUUCAAUUGAUGUAAGCAAGUGCAUCUUCACAGCCACUACCGCUCCCCUCCUACUCUUUGUAGCUUAUGCUACUCCCCUCUUAUAAAUCUCGGCUCGCCUGACGCCUUCGCCAUUGUGUAGGGAACGAGCGAGCUCGAGCUAGACCACAGUAAUGGCGGCAUCGACAAUGACGAUAAGGAGGAUCAAGUUGGGGUUGCAGGGCCUGCAGGUGUCGGUGCAAGGGCUGGGCUGCAUGGGCAUGUCCGCCUUUUACGGGCCACCCAAGUCGGAGCCCGACAUGAUCGCCCUCAUCCACCAUGUCGUCGGCUCUGGCGUCACCUUCCUUGACACCUCCGACAGCUACGACCCCCACACCAAUGAAAUCCUCCUUGGAAAGAUCGGUUCUCUCAGUCUCUGUUUUGCCUUCGCAUGAACUAUAUGUGCUUAUAAUGUUACGGAAUGUAGCUUCAUCGAGCAGAGUGCUUUGAUCCUGCGCCUUGGUUUUCUGAUUUCGGGGUUGAUUUUGAGCAGGCACUAACGGGAGGGGUGAGGCAAAAGGUGGAAUUGGCGACCAAGUUCGGAAUCAGCUUCGCGGAUGAGAAGAAAGAGGUCCAGGGCGAUCCGGCAUACGUGAGGGCGGCUUGCAAUGCCAGCUUGAAGCGACUUGACAUCGAUUGCAUCAACCUCUACUACCAGCACCGUAUCGACACUCGCGUCCCCAUUGAAGUCACUAUAUGGAUCCCUUAUCAAACUUUCACCUCGCUUGAGACUUUCUCCGAGCCAUAUGAUUAGUUGCUAAAUUAGAUUGGUGUUGAUGAUGCAUCGUCAUGUUGUUACAAGUUUGUUGAAUUUUGUUAAAUGACACUUAAGUUCAGCUGAUAGCAAAGCUCAAGAUGCGGCACGGUGUUGUUCAGGGGUUGUGGAAUUUAGUAGUUUAAUGGCUUGAGUUUUCGUUUUGUGGGCAUCCUUUACAAGUUAAGGGUCAACAAGCAUGAAAAUCAUUCGAAAUCUUCCUUACCUUUGAGAUGAAAGUGCUCCGGGGUUCAUCCUGAUUUUUUUUUUUUUUGGUGGUGAAAGUAAGUAAUUGUAUUAAGCUUUGCCAACUAUACAAGAUGAAAUCUUGGCACCAAAACUUGCACUCAGAAUGACAUGACGUCAAUGCGAGUGGAAGGAUGCUGAGAUGAAAAAUAGCAAGCAAUAAACGGUGUUGACACCUAAAUUUUGGCGAUCCGAUUAUUUAUUUAUUACAUAAAAAUUAUGGGUCAAUUUGUCUCUUAAAAAAUAUUAAUUACAUAUAGAUUUAGGUGCAUUUAUUUUUAAUUUAAUUUUUUUGUAUUUUAUUGGAUCGAUGGUGGAUGGAUUCAAAUUAAUGGUUAUGAAUUUUAAAUUGACAAAUCGAACUAAGUUCACGAAUAUAAGAAAUUGGCGCAAGCCCGUAUUUGAAAAAAUUCUAUUGUAAUUUUUGAAAAAUCAAUAGAAAACAUUCAUUUUUGCAAAGGAAAUCAAGAAGAGCUGUGGAAAAUAAAAAGUGAUAUUACGUGCGGAAAAGAAAUCUUUGCAGAUGUUGAUUUAAAAAGGAAAUUAAAAUCCUAAUUUUUGGUCUAUAAAAAAGUAACUUAGUAUAGGGUUUUGGGGAGGCUACACAUGGAAUACACAGCCAGUGGAGGGCGAAAUUCGAAAAAAUUUGGAGAGCAAACGCGAGGGGGCUUUUUCCUUCGGUUGAUUGGAGUUGAGAAUUCAAGAAAAAAGAAGAAGAAAGAAUUCGUUUGUUUGUGAAAAAAGGCAGCAAAAGUGUGCAGAAAAAAAGGAAGAGACAGAGACGGGACAGGGAAGAGUGAUGUGAGAGAGAGACGUGGAGUAGAAUAAAAAAGAAAAAAGAAAGUAAAAACAGGGAAGACUGUUCAUCCUCGCAAGCGCCUCAACCGCUGUCGCCGAUCCCUUUCGCCCGCACCGGCCCGCGACCUGCAGCCGCCGCGCUCCGUCGCCGCCUCACCCGAGCCGCCGACCACCACCGCUCGCUGCUCACACUACCGCUGUCCCGAUCUGCCCGCUCGAGCGUCCCUACGCCGGCAGAUCUGAGCUGCUCGCCACUCCACCGCCGCGCGAGUUCCCGCACCGGUCCGCGCCUCCUCUGCUGCUCGUGCCGUGCCACCACCAGGGUUCCUCUCGCUCGCGAGCUCGCACCGCCGCCCCGCUGUGCUGAUCCGCGACGACCCGACGCUCCGCUGCUGCUGCUGCUGCACCUUCGCAGGUCACCCCACCAGCACCACCGUUCGUCGCCCUGGCUGUAGGCGCGACGACUCGACACCGCCUCUGCUCAGUCACUCCUUCACCCGCUCCUGCUGCAGCACCAGUCGCUGCAACCUCCGCCGUCGCUCUUGCAUCCGACCCGACGCCAGCAGCAACGAUCCAGAUCCGGCGCCUGCUGCAGCCACAGCCCGACGCCGCUCCUCUGCCCGCGACCCAAGACCGGACGCCCAGGUCCGACGCCCUGCAGCUCCCUCUCUGAGUGACUCCCGCGACUUCCCUCACCGGAGCAACCCACCACGUUGCUGCUUCGCUUGAAAAAAAGAAAAAGAAAAAGAAAACAAAAAAAGAAAAAUCAAUUUAGGUAAUUUUUCCUUUUAUUUAUCUAUCUUAUUUUAUUAUUUUUGUUAUUUAACUUUAUUUGUUCUUUUUCAGUAUAAUUAUUCCUUAGUGUAAGGAUGAGAUGUUCGACAUGAAAUAGCCUGUGAAAUUUGUGAUUGUCAGUCCGAUUUUCACGCCUAAAAUCCGACUUGCAAUCACUUAAAAAAAAUCGCUAAUCCGAUCUUCCGCCUAAGAUUCAAUUCGCGAUUUAUGUGAAAUUGACCAACUCGAUUUCAUGCGCGAGAUAUAAUUCGUCAAUUUGGAUAUCAUCUUGCUCCGAUUUGUUGUCGUGUCAUUUAAUUAAAUUUGCUUUCAUAAAAAAAAAAUGUAGGUUAGAAUUAGGUUUAUUCCCUAUUUUAGGGUUUACAUAUUUAAAAUAUGAAUUUUAUUUCGAAUUUUUUUUUAAAAAAUAAUAAUAAAUUAAAAAAUCAAAAAUCAAAUCAAUUAAUUUAGGUUGCUAGUUUUUUUUUUUUUUUUUUAAAACUUGGAUUGCAUGUUUAAUUGUUUGGCAAUUAUUAAUUUCGAAAUUAAUAAAACAAAAACGCAACAAAAAAUCAUCAUGCAUAUGUCAUAUAGAAUUAGGGCAUCUUUUGUAUGUCAUUGCAUAUUAGGGUAAAAUUGCUAAUAUUUUUCUUAAUUUAUUAUAAGUUUAGGUAUUUUCUUAGAUAGAUUGCAUUUUAGGAUUGCUUGGGUUAGGAUAAUAUUCUAAUUUAAAUUAGGAUUUGGCUUAACCUAAUUCCUAAUACAAAUUGAAUAGAAUCUUAAUCUAGUUAGAUAAUUUUCACAUUUAAUCUAAUUUCGAAUUUCAUGAAAAAUACAAAAAAAAAGUCUUAGAAUAAAUUGGUUUUAUUCUCUAGGAUAAAUUGCAUUCUCUUUAAGGAAAAAAGAAGAAAAAUAUCAUGUGCAUGCCAUAUAAGAUUAGACUCAUGAGAUGCAUACCAUUUAGUGAUUGUUGCUAGUCCAUUUAAUUAGAAAUUGCAUAUCAUUAGAAUUAGGUCAUUUAGUUAUAUUGCAUUGCAUAUUAUAUGAUUUUCAUUAAAUAAGUGAAAAUAAAGAAAUUGCGUAUUGAUUAGAAAUUAUAUUUAAAACCGUCGAUGUGAAUUUUGAUAUAACAUUGUAGAUGCUUUCGUUGCUAUGAAAUGACUAUUACAAUUUAUUCAUUAUUUAUCUGGGUGUUAAAUUGGUGGUUUGCGCACUCAUAUGAUCACUUCAUAUGUUAAAAAAAUAGAUUUAAAAUCAAUCCAAAUUGCAUGUAAAAACAUUUUUGAAAAUAAAAAGAAGUGGUACCGAAAGGGUAUUAGAGAAUCUAGCAUAAUUAAGUCUCUGAACUCAUAAAUCUCUAAUUCGUAGGAGUGAAGUAAAUCUCCCGUUACUUUAUUUGAAGAUUAAUGGCGACUCCUAACUGAAAUAUCGUUUGUAUGUUAAGAACUUAAACCCAAGUUGCAAAUUGGUAUGGCUUGGGAGAGCUUGAGUUAGGUCUAGGCUUAACAAUUCAUUAGCCAAACCUUAGGUGAUACACACCUGAAAAUUUGGUCGCGACAAAUGGUAACAGCCACCACACAGCAAAGAAGAGCCAAACAACGGCCACCACUAGCAACCAAAGCAAAAAACAAAAGGCAACCGAGGGAUCAAACAGACGCAGCCAGAUCACCCCAAGCACCAAACCAAAAAGGGAAAGGCACAGUUCAAGCGUCCCAGUUGAGAGAAGCCGUGACCGACACGAACCAGGGGAGGAGGAAUCUUCAGUGAAACAGCCAACCCCAAGGACCUCGGCGGUAGCUCAGCACAAGAAUGUCCACCCUAGAAGGGUAUCCAGUUAGAAGGAGAUGGAUGAUGGAACAACCAUUCUCAAGGAUCGAACUCGCCGCUGAAAUAGCAGCUACAUGGAAAUCAGCUUCGUAGAUUUGAUCAAGAAUCACCUAAAGAGAAAACAAUCGGAUCAAUGCCCCAGGCACGCUGGAGUAUCCUGUUCCUCGCGGUACUAUCGACAUUUCUGAAAGUUAGAGCCUUAUCCCGGACAACCCUAAGGAGAUGGUUCUUCAGGGCCGGGAUCGUAGGAGUUAGCUCUCUAAACAAAAUAUCAUUCCUGUUCUUUCAUAUAAUGUGACAGAGGGCUCCAAGGGGUUCAUCCUGAAUUUAUAUACAGGAAUCACAGAUAAAGUUGUUCCUGGACUUUAUGCGGAGACAUUUGAUUCUUGACAUAUUGUGAAAUAUGACAAGUACUUGGAAUACUUCUUUUAUUUGCUCUCUUCUGUGAGAGAUUCAGGAAAUCUACCUCCGUUAACUCAAUACCUUGUGACUUUUUUGUUGCAUUGUGAUGCAUGAUAAUUGAGGGAUCUAGACACAUAAAAAGCUAAUGCCAUGCAUAAUUUUCUGGAUCUUAACAUGUAAGAUCUUUCGUCCAAAAAAAAAAAAAAACAUGUAAGAUCUUGAUUUUGUUGUUUUGUCAUGUGAAUAUGCAUAGAUCGGAGAGCUAAAGAAGCUCGUGGAAGAGGGUAAGAUAAAGUACAUCGGUUUAUCCGAGGCCUCUGCCUCAACAAUCAGAAGAGCACAUGCUGUUCAUCCCAUCACAGCGGUGCAAUUGGAGUGGUCGCUUUGGUCAAGAGAUGUGGAGGCAGAGAUCGUUCCAACGUGCAGGUAGGAUAUCACUCUGUUAAUUGUUUAUGCAGCAACAACAGCUUCCUUCUGACUCUGCUUUUCCUUUAAAAUGUUGACUAGGGAGCUUGGCAUUGGAAUUGUUGCCUACAGUCCUUUAGGACGAGGAUUCUUUUCUGUUGGCUCCAAGUUGGUGGAGAAUAUCUCUAAGGAUGACUUCAGACAGGUCUGUUCCUGCUUGUCAACAUAAUUAGAUGCCAGUAUCGGGCUUUGGCCCUCCGUCCUUUUUCAUUCUCAUCUUUCUUCACAAGAUAAACUAUAUCUUGACACAACCAUUUCUUGAGUAAGGACUCCUAGCACCCUUCUUAUGAGAGUUUUGGCUCAAGUUCCCAUCUGACAUAAAGCCAAUUGUGUAUUACUCCCCGCCAUUAGCGUUUGACUAGCGAUAGUGCUGGGCAAGUGAAGUAGCUAUUUUUUUUUUUUUGUAGCUAAAAGAGCUUUGCGUCUGAUAACGUUCUUCUACACAUCAUCUACAUUUCUGAUUUUUAUUUUAUGUGUGACUCAGGAAAAUGAUAAUUGCUCAUAUGCUCUCUGCUGAGACAUUGCUCUAUGUUAUGCAGUAUCUACCAAGGUUCCGGCCAGAGAACUUGGCUCACAACACGAAGUUAUUUGACCGAGUGAAUGGAAUUGCACAAAGAAAGGGAUGCACCACAUCGCAGUUAGCCCUCGCCUGGGUACACCACCAGGGUGAUGAUGUUUGCCUGAUUCCCGGCACGACCAAGAUCGAGAAUUUCAACUAGAACAUUGGAGCUCUGUCAGUGAAGCUUACACCGGAAGAGAUGGCCGAGCUUGAAUCGAUUGCUUCUGCAGACAGUGUCAAGGGUGGCAGGUACGAUGGAAGCAUGUCUACAUGGGAAAACUCCGACACUCCACCCCUUUCUUAAUAAAAUUAUGUGUUUUUCUAGUAAGGGAUGUUGCGAAAACUUUAUUGUCUUUUGCAUGCGUAAUUAUAACUAUGAGUGUAACUAUGCGUAAUUACAACAUGUGGCGUCACACAAUCCUCAGCACUUGAAUUGGGGUCUAUCAAGGUAGUGCUUGAGUCUAUGAUGCUCAAGCUCUAUUCAAUAGCACUUAGGCUCGGGUCCGCAAAGAUUGUGCAUCAGUCCUCAAUGCUUGAGGUCGGCUCGUUAGUUAAUAAAACGUUUGUUCUUAUAAAAAUAAUUAUUUUUAAAAAAUCUAUUUUUUUAUAUUAUUUGUUUUCUUUCUUUUUAUUUUCCUUCUUCUCGGCUAGUUGCCAACCAUGGCGCCGAUUGCGCCUGAUAACAAGCACCGGAUGAGCUAGCCCAAGGCCAAGAAGACUUGAGAUUGCUGAUUUGGCAAGCUUGAAGCUGGUCAAGUGCAAGCUCGAGUUUCGCCCCGUGGCUAGUCGCCAACUACCACCGUGGCUAGCGUUCGGUCGAGGAAGAAGAAAAAGAAAAAUAAGUAAAAAUCUGAAUAUUUUGUAAUCUUCUAUAGGGAAAUCAAAUAAGAUUUUUCAUAUUAAACGAUAAAAAAUAUUUUCUAGUUUAUUUUUAAGACUUAACCAAAUAUUGAAAAUGACUUUUUGUAAAAUAUUAUUCAAAUAUGUCAUAUUUUUUGCGAAACAAACGGUACAUAAAUUUAAAUUUGAUAAUUGUCCUUGUUAAUUUGGUACACAUUAUCUGUCUCUUUGUUUUGUUGCUGAACUGAUGCUAAUCUCUAGAUGAAGCUUGACUAGUUUCAAUAGGCGGCUUGACUUUUGCGCUUCCUUUUUUUUAAAACCCAAAACACUCAAAACUUUCGUGAUACACGACUUUCGACAUGCAGAGUUACAAUCACUUCAAAUAAUUUAUCUGAAAAUUGUAUAGUGGGCCAUCCGAGAAAGGUGAGGGCAACUUGUCCCCCUAGAAAUUGUCAUGACGUGGAACUCUUGACAUGAAUUGAAGUGACUUUUGUUAAGAGUUAACUAGUCAAGAUCGGGCCACAUCUGUCCAUUCAUGUCCGCCACAUCCGGCCCCUCCAAUCGGACUCCCCGGCGAAAAGAUUCACGGACACGUGGCUGGAUCUAGAAAGUCACGGGUUUGACUUGUCUUUUGUGUCACUAUCAAGAAUGUGCAUGGUCCGGACGGGCGAUUCCCGACCUAGAAUCGGGAACUGCUUGCUAAGGACCGAUUCCAAAACAUUGAAACGGAGAUCCACCAGUUAGUUGAAUGAAUCCACUUGGGAACCAGAUCGCUGAUUCAGUCCGAUUUCUAGGUGGAUCUAUGGAACCGAUCUUGACGCUAAAUAAUUUUAUUUUCAAUAUAGAACGACUACGUGAUUUCCAUAACAACAGCUGGAGAGGUUGUAGAAGGAUAUCAUGGUAGGCACUUACGAUAAUCGUGAGGAAAUGAUAGCAAUUUUGGUUAAACUUGUUUUCUAUCAUGGCUAUCAUGGGUCGAAUAAAAUUUUGCAAGCAAAUUUCGUGUCCUAGGCAUUUUUUUUCUCUUAGGUGUGAUGCUUUAAAAACCCUCUAUGUGAUGCUUAGGAACCUUUGUUUGUGAUGAAGCCUAAAGAUUUAUUCCUUGUUGUGGACUUGUUGUCCUACAUCAAAAUCUCUCAGUCAAACUUUUUUGCUUUGUUUUGGUAAGUCUGUAUAAGGUAUAUUACAGAAGUUGCAUUACGAGAUAUUUCUUCCUUAUUGUCUUUUUAGUUUAACUAAGGCCAAAUUGUUUUGGCAUUUUUCCAAGCAUUUCAUUAUGGAAUGAUGAUAAGAAGCGAUCUUGACUUAAUGCUUUUAGUUAUUUGAUUUGGAUUUAUUAAUUAGUAAUUUCAUUUUUUAAUAUUAAAAAUUAAUAUAUUAUUUUAAUAUAAUCGGUUCGGUCUAGGUGGGCGGGUAGAUAGAUCCGCUCAUGGAACUGGGAACCAGACUGGUACUCACCGGUUCCCAUAAAUUGGAAUCGAGAACCGGACCGGUUCCCUUAAAAACUACCGGUUCUGGGCGGUCCAAGCGGGUUUCGGUUAUUUUGCACAAAGAAUUAAAAAUUCAAUUUUUUUUAAAAAUAUUUUAAAAAGAAUUAUAAAAAUUUUCAUUAAAUUUGUAUUGCAUAAAAAUGUUUUAACAAUACUUUUUUUUAAAUAAAAAAAUCAUAAAAACGAGCUUUUUAAGGGUUAAUUAUUUUUUUUAUGUUAUUGUUUUUAGUUAUUCAAAGGUAUGUUUACUUCAAAUAAGGGAAGCAUGUGCAUAGUUUAAUUCUUUAUAAAUAUUUAAAUGUUUUUUUAAACUUUUCUUAUUUUAUUUUAUUUUCUAUUUUUAAUUUAAUUUGAAGAUUUAAUCUAAUUAGCAUAUAAUAGAAGUGGAUUUUCCUAAAAUAUUAAGAGGUUUUAGCAAUACGAGUUGGAUCGGGUAUGUGUCGGGUAUAUAUGAAUAUGGAUCAGAAUAAGUUAAAUAGAUCAAAUAUGAGUUCAUUCGUUUUCGACCGGACUCAAAUCCGGCUUGAUCCGGUUUCGACCCAACCCAAAUCCGACUCGAUCCACUCAUUUAACGGGUCUAGAUUGAAUUGACGUAAGCACGUGCGUCUUCGUAGCUACUGCCGCUCCCCUCCUAUAAAUCUCGGCUCGCCCGACAUCUUAGCCAUCGUCACGGUGCAGUGCAGGGAACGAGCGAGCUCGAGCUAGACGACGGCAAUGGCAGCGUCGACGACGACGGUGGGGAGGAUCAAGCUGGGGUCGCAGGGCAUGGAGGUGUCGGCGCAGGGGCUGGGCUGCAUGGGCAUGUCCAUCGGCUACGGCCCUCCCAAGCCCGACCCCGACAUGAUCGCCCUCAUCCACCACGCCGUCGGCUCCGGCGUCACCUUCCUCGACACCUCCGACAUCUACGGCCCCCACACCAACGAAAUCCUCCUCGGAAAGGUCGGUUCUCUCAGUCUCUCUUUUGCCUCCGCAUGAAUCAUACGUGCUUAUAGUGUUACGGAAUUCAGCUUCAUCGAGCAGGAUGCUCCGAUCCUGCGCCUUGGUUUUCUGAUUUCGGGGUUGAUUUUGAGCAGGCACUGAAGGGAGGGGUGAGGCAGAAGGUGGAAUUGGCGACCAAGUUCGGAGUCAGCUUCGCGGACGGGAAGAGGGAGAUCCGGGGCGAUCCGGCGUACGUGAGGGCUGCUUGCGAGGCCAGCUUGAGGCGGCUCCACAUCGAUUGCAUUGACCUCUACUACCAACAUCGCAUCGACACUCGCGUCCCCAUCGAAGUCACUGUAUGGAUCCCACAUCAAACCUUUACCUCUCUCGGGACUUUCUCCGAGUGAUCAGUUGCUAAAUUAGAAUGGUGUUGAUGAUGCAUCAUCAUCAAGAUAUCGUUAAAUGUGACUUGAGUUCAGAUGAUAGCAGAGUUCAAGAUGUGGCACGGUGUUGUUCAAGGGAUUGCGGAAUUUAGUAGUUUAUAUGGCUUGAGUUUUUGUUUUAUGGGUCAACAAGCAUGAAAAUUAUUCGAAAUCCAGGGUUCACCCUGAUUUAUAUCUGAGAAUCACAUUUGAAGUUGUUCCUGGACUUUCUGCGCAGACAUUUGGUUCUUGACUUGUCAUUGUGAAAUAUGACAAGUACUUGGAAUACUUCUUUAAUUUGCCUUCUUCUGUGAUAGAUUAGAGAGAUCCAUUUCCGUUAACGAUACCUUGCCAUUUUCUUGUUGCAUUGAGAUGCAUAAAGAUUGACUAUUUUUUGCUAGGAGCUACCUAAUCAAAUUGUAAUGUUUGAGAAGUCAGGGAACACAAACUAUUCAGGCAUCAGGACACAAGAAAAACUAAUGAUGUUCAAUAACUUCUGGAUCUUAACACGUAAGAUUUUGACGAUUGUUGUUUUGUCAUGUGAAUAUGCACAGGUUGGAGAGCUAAAGAAGCUCGUUGAAGAGGGUAAGAUAAAGUACAUCGGUUUAUCCGAGGCCUCUGCAUCAACAAUCAGAAGAGCACAUGCUGUUCAUCCCAUCACAGCAGUGCAAUUGGAGUGGUCGCUUUGGUCAAGAGAUGUGGAGGCAGAGAUCAUUCCCACGUGCAGGUAGGAUAUCACUGUUUAUUUGUUUAUGCAGUAACAACAUCUUUCUUCUGACUCUGCUCUUCCUUAAAAUGUUGACUAGGGAGCUUGGCAUUGGAAUUGUUGCCUACAGUCCUCUUGGACGAGGAUUCUUUUCUGUUGGCUCCAAGUUGGUGGAGAAUCUCUCUAAGGAUGACUUCAGACAGGUCUGUUUCUGCUGGUUAACAUAAUUAGAUGCUCACAGUUACUGUCAUUCCCAUUGAAGUGCUGGAAACCUGUUCUUAUUCUAUAAAGAAAAAGUUUGUGACACGAAUGCUUCAUAUUCUUAUUCGAUCCAGCACUUGCCAGUCAUCCCACCUCUCGUGAUUCUAGAUAAAUUUAAAAAUCACAAGUAAUGGCUUUAAUGAGCCUGAAAGGGGCAGUUUUCUGGAUUCUCGUGCUUUUGGGAAUGAACAAAUAUAGGUUUAUUUGUAAGUUGCUCCGUUUCCCAGCUUUCCCACCAUUUGCUUAUCACUAUCCUUUCCCCACUUUCCACCCGCCCUUUUUCUCUCAUAUCUCUUCACAAGAUUAGCAAUAUUUGCUCAAAAUAACCGAGACCAGUAUCGGGCCUUGGCCUCCGUCCUUUUUGUUUCUCAUCUUUCUUCACAAGAUAAAUUAUAUCUUGACACAACCAUUUCUUGAGCGAGGACUCCCUAACACCCUUCUUAUGAGAGUGUUGGGAUCAAGUUCCCAUCUGACAUAAAGCCAAUUGUGUAUUACUCCUGGCCAUUAGUGUUUGAGUAGCGAUAGUGCUGGGCAAGUGAAGUAGCUAUUUUUCUUUGUAGCUAAAUGAGCUUUGCGUCUGAUAACAUUCUUCUACACGUCAUCUACCUUUUGUGAUUUUUUUUUCUUAUGUGUGACUAAUGUUACCAUCACACGUACAAAACUUAGAUUGUCUAGUUUGUUUCUGUUUUCACUUCCUACAUCAAACCCAUCAGCCUUGUGUGGUAGUUGCUAGAUCACUUCGCUCGACGUUUCUAGUUCUUAUGAUUUGGGGCUAGGUAUUUUAAUCAUUUCAAGAUAAUCAUAACUGAUCAUGCUUUUCCAGGUACACAACAAUUGUGCACUUCUAAAUGCUUAUUAGGUCAAGUAACAAGGCAAUCUGUUGGCAUGCAAUGCGAUCACUUUUGCACCUUGCUGCUGUAGAAUUUGGCCUUAAAAGGAAAAUGAUAGUUGCUCAUAUGCUUUCUGCUGAGACAUUGCUCUAUGUUAUGCAGAACCAACCAAGGUUCCAGCCAGAGAACUUGGCUCACAACAUGAAGUUAUUUGACCGAGUGAAUGAAAUUGCGCAAAGAAAGGGAUGCACCACAUCGCAGUUAGCCCUUGCCUGGGUACACUACCAGGGUGAUGAUGUUUGCCCGAUUCCCGGCACGACCAAGAUCGAGAAUUUCAACCAGAACAUUGGAGCUCUGUCAGUGAAGCUUACACCGGAAGAGAUGGCUGAGCUCGAAUCAAUUGCUUCUGCAGACAAUGUCAAGGGUGGCAGGUACAAUGGAAACCUCUCUCCAUGGGAAAACUCCGACACUCCACCCCUUUCUUCUUGGAAACCUGCCUAGAAACAUGUCUACUUCUGUUGCUGCGUCUUUGAUAUGCAGAGUUUGUGCAUUUGCCGCUGAAGUAAUUUGAGGCUAUGUUGUGUGGCUGUUAUAAGUACGUGUAAUAAGAGAGUGACUGUUUUCGUUUUGUACAUGUGACAUUCACUAUGAGAAGAUUAUGGAUAUGUUCUAAGCUUACUGGGGAAAGAUCACCCGCUAACACGAGAGCAAGUUUUUUAUGAACCGAGCUUGCCGUGCCGACUUUAUCGGGGUGACUUUUAGAAUAUGAGAAAUUGGGAUUUUGAAGAAUUCAAACUCAGUCAUACAUACUAGAGUGAUGCUUUAUUCUCCUCCAACUAGUCUUGGUCCAGUUUCCAGAGAGAUUAGGUCGAUCCUUGGUCCUAGAAUUUCAGGACUAGCACUGUGCGGGUCGAUUCUUAGUCCUAAGAGUUCUAGGUCGGUCCAAUCCAAACCAACCUUAUAUAUAUAUAUAUAUAUUAUUUAUAAUUUUUUUAUAUAGAGAAAACCUUAAAACAAACGGCGUCAAUAACAUUAAAGAGUUAUUUAGUAAAGAGUUCAAGUAAUUUUACAUUGUUCUUUAAUAUUUUAGAUUUUUAAUGUCUUUUACGAUAUUAAUAGUCAUAAUUUACGAAGGAGGAAAUUGUUUUUGUAAGGAGUCCUCAUGAUAUCUAAAAAGGUAUAAAUGGCAUCAUUCUUUAGUAUUCGUUCUCUUUGGUUUUAUUCGUUCUCUUAAUUAUCAAUUUGCCAAAAUUGAAAGAAGCAAUCGCUCACUUUGGGUCACUCCUGCCGCUCGCCGCUUAAUGCUCGCUUGGCUUGUUGCUCCAUGCUCGAUAUUCGAUAUUUAUUCUGUUCGACGCUCACCCCACUUGACUCUCGUUGCUUGCCUUUUUUAGUUGACCUUGCUCAUCAUCGAAUCCAUUAGGUCAAUAUGGUCCUCAGUUGCUUUUUCAAGGAUUACAAAAAAUGAAAUAAAAAAUUAUUAAUUAGUCCUAAGUUGACCUUGAAACCAGACCGAACCCAUUGGGUCCGUUUGAUCUUCAAUCGCUUUUUUAAGGUGUACAAAAAAUGAAAUAAAAAAUUAUUGGUUGGUCCCGGGUUGACCCUAGAACUGGACCGAACCCAUUGGAUCAGUUCGGUCAUUGGUCCUAAGCUUAAUAGGGUUGGUUCUCGGUCCAAAAAACUGAGGACCAGCAUUGUGUGAGUUGGUCAUAGGGUUAGGGGGUGAACCGGCCCAACCUGGACCAUACUCACUCCUACCUCUAACCAUGAGUUCAAUACUAGCACCAUGUGCAACAUACUCUUAGGACUGGAUGCUACACAUAGAUACAACGCUUCGCUUUGUGUUUGGUUUCGUAGCGAAGUAAAGGAACAGUAAAAUGCUAUUGGAUGUUCUCGCGAAAAUGAAGUUUGGGAUAAAAUGUUGGCGCGGUUGAUAUGAGUGUCGAGGAAAUCGAAGGUUUCUUGUUCAAGUUUAACCACCUACGGUUCAUGAGCUUUUAUGUAGCUCAAUACCUUCGCUCAUGCCUCUGCAUUAUUAUAAAACAGUCGGAGAUAUUGCGCAAGUUUCCUAAAAUUAAAAACAACAAUUCUAUUGUUUUUUAUUUGGAGUUAGAGUGGAGCAAUGUCGUUUUGUUUUGAUUUAGGAAAAUAACGCAAAUAGUCAUUGAACUUUGGUCCAAUGUGUUAUGUUCUUAUUGAACUUUUAAUUUAUUUAGUAUGACUGUCGAACUUUUUAUACAUGUUUAAUUUAGAUCCUAGGCUAGAUAAAUCCAACGAUGCUGUGUUUGGUCGUUCGAACAUCUUUGCUGUAUGGGAUAAUGAAUGGAUGAAAAUCCCAUCUAAUAUUUCUUGACGUCUGGAUAUAGCAUGAUUCAAAAUAAAUCUUUUUUUUUUUAAAUGAGUGUUUGAUUUGUAUAAUUAAAAUUAAAAAUAAACCAUGGAAGUCGUGAAUAGUAUUCAUCCUUUCACAAUCUUCAUCGAUAUUAAACACCCCCGUUCCAUGUGACUUCAAGGACGCUCUCUCCUUCUGCAACGCCCCUUUCGCUGCCCUUGAUCAACUUGAUGGAUUACGCUCGCUCUACCUUUGACUUCGCCACAUUGAGAGGCCCUUGGGUUUGAGUUCUCCGCUGGUCUAGCCAUCUUUACUUCGAAUGCCUUUUCCUGCGAUGAAUCCAUCCCCUUCGACGAGUGCGAAUACUGCGUUGAUUCCCUGUUACCGUGCCCCGACUUGUUCAGUCGCUUCAACAGCUUCCCCCGAGACAGCGUGCGGAUCCGGUUUAUGAGUGGUAGCACCAUCGGUGCUACUCGCUCCGAGUGACGUGGUUGAAGAGCUCUAUCACCUUGGCUGCCGCCUCUUUCGGAUCAUCUUCUUCACAGAGAAGAUGUCCAGCUUUGAUCGGGAUCACAAAGUUCCCUACUAAAAUGGAGUUAAGUGACAUAAGAAAGAGGCAGGGCUGACGAGCUCCGACGCCACUUUUCCGAGGCAGCCAAAGGUGGUAAGCAGCUUGUCACUGGUAGGAGGAACGGUGGCCCUUAGACUUUGCUCAGGUCGUUGUGGCGAGGGCUUCUCUAGGUAUCUUCGCGAUACUCAUGCUCUAAGUUUGUGGUGGUCAUUUUAGUGAGAGAAAUUGAAACAAGAGAGAUGAUGCGGCACCGGUCAAAAGUGAGGAUAAGCCAUCAACAAGCGCAGGAGUGGGGGAAAAACUUGUAUCCCUUAUUUUUUUCAAUUUUCCAAAUUUCACAUAUCCUAUUUGGAUCUAUAUCACUUUCUAGAUGAGAUUUUUUAUCCGGACUAUAUCCAAAUUUCACGUUACUCUAAACACCGGAUAUGAUCAAACUUAUCAUAUCAGAGUUUUAUUCGGCCCAUCAAAGACAGACUUAUGAGAUAGAAUGCAAUGAUAUAAUCUAUGAAUUAGAUUAAACAUUUAUUAAAAGUUUAAGAAUAAUAUUUCACAUUUUGAUUGUUAGGAUGCACGAGUGAGUUAUGUUAAAACAAUCCCACAAUAUAUUGAUAGCUUUGUAAUAAGGCUUUCUCUUGGUGAUGACAUAGAUCCAUAUGGAGAAAUUAAUGGGAGGGUUUAUUUGGCCUAACUAAAUGGGAGGCUAUAUCAAUCGGAGCUUUUUCAUUGUAACAUUCCCUUGUGCUUGGUAUUUGUAUUUUAGUAAAAGGAUUUUGCUAGCAUAAUAAUCUUUGGGUUAUCAUGAGAAUAACAAUUUAUUAUGAUUUACAAAAUUUUAAAAUAGUAAACCUCAAUUCAAUUUUAAACUUUUUUUUUUCUAACUAAUUCAAUCCUAAAUAUUUUGCAUUUGUGACAAUUUAGUCUAUUCGGCCAUUUUUCGCCAAGAGGCAUUGAUGUGAACUUUGGCUGAUCGACCAAUGCUGACAUGGACAAUUUUUUUAAUAAUAUUUUAUUUUUCUUAUUUUUUAUUAAUUUUUUCUUUCUUUUUUUCUUCACUUCCUUCUCCUUCCUCCAGCCAGUCGGCAAGAGGCAAGGUUGGUGAGGGACCUUGCUGGCCUUGAGGAAGCUUGGCCAUGGUUGGGCAACCUUGCUCGUGGCUAGGCGACCUCGCCGAGGCCGCCGAUUGGGCUGGCGAGGGUUGACCCUCGUUGGCCAUAGGUCAGGACAAAGGCUGCUAGUUGGGCUUGCCCUUAUUGAAUCUGGUGAGGGUUGAGUCUCAUUGGCCAUGGGCAAGGUCAAAGGCCGCGACCUCUCGUGGUCUCUGGCGAGGCUUGCCAAAGGUUGAGCAAGGCUUACCCUCAUUGGACUGACGAGGGUUGAGCCUCGUCAGCCAAGAGCGAGAUCGUAACUUGCCCAUGGCCGGUGAGGCUCGCCUAGGCCAAAGACAGGCGGGGCCUUGCCUAACCAUGGCAAGGGUGGCCUCACCAUUGUUGGGUGAGGCUAGCCCUUGCCAGUGGCGUGUGGGGGUAAGCCUUGCCAUUGGUUGGCAAGGCUGACUUCACUGGCUUGAAUAAAAUAAAAUAUUAUUAAAAGAUUAUUCACAUCAAUAUUAGCCGAACGAGUGGUGCUCGUCGGCCAAAAUUGGCCGGAUGAAUUGAAUUAGUAUAAUUGCAAAAUGUUUAGGACUGAAUUGGCUAGAAAAAAAAAAGAUUUUAAGACUAAAUUAGAAAAAUUGCAAUAAGUUUAUGAUUGUUUUGGUAAUUUUUUCGUAUAAUAACCCUAGUAAAGAUGACUCACUUAAUUUGAGCGUCAAUAAAUCAAAGGUCACUUGUUUAGUUCUCACAACUUAUUUGUAAAUCACUUUAGAAGUGCAAAUCCAAUCAAUUUAUGAGCUUGCAAAAUGAGUCUCUAGAUAAACCAACUUUUGUAUUCGUGCUUCAGGAUUAUAAUAAAAUAUUAGAGGUUUUCAUCAGUGUAUCAUGAUAGGCUAGAUAGGGCGUUUUCUUUUGCACUUGUCAUACAUGAUCAUUUUGUAUCCUUUGAACUCAUGUUAUUUGUUGGUACUAGGUUGAGUGGUAAUAUGAUCUCCUACCUUAUACUUAGAUAUUUCAUUUAUUAGGCUUCGCCUCACUCCUUUUUUUCUUUUUUUUUCUUUUUUGUUGUAGGAUGAUUCCCCUAAAGAUGGUGACGGAGGGGCCGAGUUGAUAUCGGAAGCCAUUAAUCCUUGAGUUGGAUGGUAGUUUAGUUAGUAUGGAUGUAAUGGUAUUAGGUGACCCCGAUCUUUCCUAGGACUAUAAAAUUUUUUGUGAUAAUUACUAUCGAUAUUGUAUAAAGCCAAAGACACUUUUUUUUUUAAUAAACUCAUGCAUUUUUCUAGUAAAGGAUGUUGUGAAAACUUUAUUGUCUUUUCCAUGCGUAAUUAUAACUAUGAGUAUAAAUGGAAAUGACAUGUGCCGCAUGUGAUGUUCCAAGGCGUCACAUAAUCCCCAACACUCAAAUUAGGGUCCAUUAAGGCAGUGCUUAAAACUAUGAUGCUCAAGUUCUAUUCGGCAGCACUUAGGCUCGGGUCCAACAAGAUCGUGUGUCAGUCCUCAAUGCUCGGGCUCGGCUCGUUAGUUAAUAAAAUGUUGUUCUUAUAAAAAUAAUUCUUUUUAUUUUCAUUUUAUAUUCAUUUGUUUUCUUUCUUUUUCUUUCUCCUUCUUCUUGGCUGGUUGCCGACCAUGAUGACGAUUGCGCCUGAGAACAAGCGAGAGAUGAGCUAGCCCAAGGCCAAGAAGACUUGAGAUUGCUGAUUUGGCAAGCUUGAAGUUGGUUGAUCAAGUGACGCUAAAGCUCCCUAGCGUUGGGCAACCUCGAGUUUCACCUCAUGGCUAGUCGCCAACUACCACCGUGGCGAGCGAUCGGUUGAGGAAGAAGAAAAAUAAAAAUAAAAUUAAAAGAGAAAAUAACUAAAAAUCUGAAUAUUUUGGCAUUUUCUAUAGGGAAAUCAAAUCGAAAAAAUAUUUUCUAGUUUAUCUUUAGGACUUAACCAAAUAUUGGAAAUAUUAUUCAGAUAUGUCAUAUUUUUUGCGAAACAAACGGUGCGUAAAUAUUUAGAUUUGAUAAUUGUCCAUGUUAAUUAGGUACACAUUAUCUCACUCUUUGUUUCGUUGCCGAACUGAUGCUAAUCUCUAGACGAAGCUUGACUAGUCUCAACUCAAUAGGCGGCUUGACUUUUGCGCUUCCUUUUCUUCUUUUCUUUUUUCUUUUUAACUCAAAACACUCAAAACUUUCCUGGUACACGACUGUCGUCGUGUUACAAUCACUUUCAAUAAUGAUGGCCAUCCGAGCAAGAUGAGGGCGACUGGUCCCCCUAGAAAUUGUCAUGACGUUUGACUUUCAUGAAUUGAAAUGACUUUUCUCUGUCAAGGAGAAAAAUAGUUAACUAGUCAAGAUCGUGCCACAUCUCUCCAUCCAUGUCCUCCACAUCCGGCCCCACCAAUCGGACUCCCCGACAAAAAAAAUCGAGGACACGUGGCUGGAUCUAGAAAGUCACAGGUUCGACUUGUCUACUGUUAUCACUGUCCUUUUGCAAUAAUUUUUUUACACCCGUCUAGCUGUUGUGAGCUCCUCUGACAUACUAAUUGUGUGGAUAUGGUGAACUUGGGACCUUCUAUAAUCUGUCCAUAUUAAAAAUUUAAAAUGGACAAAUUCCGCCUCUCAUUGUGGAAUUCCACCCACAUUUCUCGCAAACUUUCAAACAUUAGUUCCAGGUCGUGCAUUCCAAUUGAGCCUUGUCUGGUCAAAUAUCAAAGUACUCUAGAGAAAAAUUUUAAAAAAAAUUGUAAAAAAGAGAGAGAAGGAAAACGAUUCAGCCUUAUAAUAACUUGCUAGGAACCACGUAGUUAAUUAGAGCAUCAAGAAAUUAGAGGUAGCUUGUGUAGUUCUCGCAAGUUACUUGUAAAUUGCUUUAGAAGUACAAACUUAAUUGAUUUAUGAGCUUGCACCAUAUUUUAUGAGUUUCUGAAUAACCAACUUUUGUAUUCAUGCAACUCACUCCGCUGUGACUGAGUUGGUUCGGACGUUCCCUCCUCUUCCAAUUGGGGGGAGGUUUGAGUCACCACGAUUGCAUUUGCGCAACUUAAGUGCGGCGCCAUGAGAGGUGGGUCCCCGUGCUAGCGUCACCGUGGGUUUACGUCGCCAGCUGCCGGUUGUACGGCGAUUCUCAAGUCAUAAAAAAAAAAGAAAAAAGAAAAUUUGUAUUCAUGCUUGUAGAUUAUAAUAAAAUAAUUGGUUGUGGUGGGCAAUUGAGAGUGACACCGUUUUCGCCUUUUAUUUUUUGUAAUAUGUGAAGUGUUGUUCUGUUUUUUGUUUUCGUCACCCUCCCACUUGUGCUAUAUUUGUUAGGUCUCCUCGCCAGGAGUUCGUCACUUUAUGUUAUUGACCUCUUAAUUAAAUACAACAAUACCUUCAAGGACUGCUCUUCAUAAAGGCGCGGAUUGGACGGCCGGUGACCGAGAUAGCAGCCUCCGCCCCUCCCUCGGUCUUGCCCUUUGCAUAACUUUUAGAAAACAUGCGUGAUUAGAGGAUCAAUAGUGACUUAAUUCUAACCCGUAUCGAUGUUACCCGUUUAGCAUCUCUUAGUAAAUGUAAAUAUUGUACGCGGAUGACAGCAUUUUGAAGAAUUUACAAUUGGUGUUCUUUUAUUAAAUAUGGUUGAUAUCAUGAAAAAUCUUAGAUUGAUACAUUUGCGACAAACUUAUCCCAAACUAUUUUUUUUACACAAAAACCGUAAACUAGUAUAUUUGUAAUUUUACCUAAAACUAUUUUUUUUUAUCGUCAAAAACCUCAAACUGAUAUAUUUGUAGCAAAAUUACUCUUUACUAACUAGUGUUAAAUUAUACUAAUAUGAAUUGGUACAUCUAUGACAAACGAAGGGUAAAAUCCUAAAUUGGUACACUCAUUAACUAUCAUAUGUCAUUUAACUCAGUAAUUUAAUAGUACAAUUUAAGGGAAAUUAACGGAGGGUCAAUUUGUCAUAGGUGUAUCGGUAUGAGAUUUUUGAUAGCAAAUGUAGGAGUUUUACAUGGUAUUAAACUCUAUUGCAUAUGAUCAAAAGUCCUAGUUUCUACUAUUUUUGUCGACACAAUACCUUAAAAAACCUCAAACUUAAGCUCUGAUCCUAAUUCUAUCUUUUGUGUUAUAAGACCUCCAACUUUAGAUCAUGUCCCAAUUCCACCCUAACAUACAUAUUUUAGAAAACCCCAUAUUUUAGUUAUAGUCCCAAUCUUAUCUAAACAUCUGUUAUCUCAUAAAAUCCCUCAAAUUUAGGUCAAGUACCAAUUCCAACCUAAACGUUAUUUUGUCUUAUAAAAAGAAUCCUAGCUUUAGGUCCAAUUUCAUUUUCACUUUUUUUUUUUAUCUCAUAAAAGAUUACCAACUUUUACUUGAGUCCCAAAUCCACUCUCCAUUAACCCUCCAUCAAAAUUGCCCUUAGUGAUUUUGUGCUCGGUUUUUGAUCUCGCGUGCUUGGAAAUAUUUCAUUUCUCUUGAACAACUUGUGCUUGAGGGUUUUCCAUCUCUCGAUGUCAGCAGGAAAUUUUGCACGAAGGGUUAAUGGUGGCAAAUAUGCGACUCAAGUAAAAAUUUAUAGUUUUUUCAUCAGACUAUAAAAAUUUUACGGUAAUAUUGAGAGUGGAUAGGCUUUUCAUAAGACAAGAAAAGGUUUAAGGUAGAAUUAGUAUAUUAUUUAAAAUUGAAUUGUGAAUGGCUAUAAAAUUAGUGAUUUUUUUUAUGAGAUAAAAGGUAAAAUUAGGAGAAAAGCUAAAGUUAGAGAGUUUUUUUUAGGGUAUCAAACCUAUUUUUGUCAAUCAUAUGAUGUCAACAUUAUCUUUGUUUUUGUUUUUCUUUCAAUUGUCCAUUUGGUCGGUUCUUUUCUAUUCUUAUUCUCAAACUUUUGCCUUGACUCAUUACAAGUGUGAGAAUUGAAACCACAUUUGAUACUAUAUUGUCCCCCGGUAGGCAUUCAAAACCCCCAUCUCCCGCUUCUCAUGUAAGUUAUGAAUGGAGCCUUCGUGUCGUGUCCGACACGCUCGAAGAUGCGGUCAAUACGUGUUCGAAAUCCGACACGUGAACAAUUCUUAUUGACACAUUCUAACACACAAGUCCGAGAGAGAGGAUCGUUGAAGAAAACAAUGGCAAGGGAGCGAAGGCAACGGCAAGGCCACGACGGUGAGAGAGGGCUAGAGGAAGAGUAGAGACCGAGAUGACCUAAAGAGAGGAUCGUGACUGCAAUGGAGGGCCGGUGGCGAGACUGCACCUAUGUAGGAGGAAGGGUUGGAGGUGAGGCGGCAAGCGAUUAUGACAAGGCAAUCAAGAGAGAGAAGAGAUUGAGAGGUGGAUGGUCGUGCGAGGAGGAGGGGAAGGCCAGGGCUAGGGUUUUUGAAGGGGGAAAAUCAAAAAAUUAAAAACAUGAUUUUGAUGGGACAUUAGGGUUGUGCAAGGAGGAGGGGAAGGCCAGGGCUAGGGUUUUUGAAGGGGAAAACUCAAAAAAAUUAAAAACAUGAUUUUGAUGGGACAUUGCUGUGAUUUCUCCUUUAUGGAGAGGGGGAGCGUGUCGGGAGGUGGAGGGGGAGGGCAGAUAAAUGAGGGAAAGAUGAGUGAAAUAAGUUUGUUGGGGGCACAAAAGGAGGGGUUGGUAGGACCUGAGCAAGUCCUUAGACUGCUCCGUCUGGUCGGAAAUAGCCCACGGACGUAAAAUGUGGGCAAUGUUAAUCGUGGGAGAUCAGACCACCCUGUGUAAGGAUCUCCUGGCUCAGAUUCCCGCGAUGCCUUUCUCCUAACAUAUUAGGCUGGGUACAGGAAAAUGAUGAGUGAAAUAAGUUUGUUGGGGGGGGGGGGCACAAAAGGAGGGGUUGGUAAGGGUUGGCAUGGACCCCAUGGAUUUUUAUUUUUUUUUAAUCAAAAAAAUAAAUAAGGAAGGCCAGAAAGUGGGGGAAGAAACUAUGGAAAGAGAGUGAAGUAAAUGUGGGGGUGAGGGUUGGGGUGGACCACGGGGGUCUUUUCUUAUCAGAAAAAUAAAUAAGAAAAACUAUAAGGUGAUUUCGGAAAAUGAAAGUGUUGAAUGUUGAAUAAUAAUAAAAUUUGAUAAUUGUAAAAGAUUAUAGAUUUAUUUAAAUAAGUUAAUUCUAAUUUUUCUUAAUCAUUAGUUUUAUCAAUAAUUUUUGUUAGAGUUAGAAAUAUGUUCGUAUGGAUGCUAUAUGGCAUAUGGAAAGGGUGGCCUCACUUCUGGCGUUUCAUGUAUGGAAAGAGUGAUUAUUAAUGGCGCAUUUGGUAACGUUUUUGUUUCGGAGGACAAUUUUUGAAUAGAAAUAGUUUUUUUUUUUGUUCUAGGGAAUAAUUUUUGAGUAUAAGAAUGUGUUUGGUAACUGCAAACAAUUUCUACUCUAAAAAUAGAAACGCGCUUGGUAAACUUGUAUAAUUUCUUUGUUUCUUUUAAUUUUUUAAUAUUUUUAAUAUUUUUUUUCUUUUUUUCUUUUUUCUUUUUCUCUUUGGUCGGUUGCUGGCUAUGGCGAUGUCCGUUGAGCCUUGUCCAGGCAACGCGAGGUUCGCCUCGUGCCGAUUGGGGAGGUCAAGGCCUCUUGGCUUUGUCUGGGCUAAGCGAGGUUGACCUUGCCCAGCCACCGGCGAGACUCGGCCUCGCUGGGCCACCGCUAGGCGACUCUGUCCUGGAGGUGGCUCGGCGAGGUCGAGCCUCAUGCGGCCAUGGCGAGGCUCGGCCUCUCUGGGGGCUAGCGACACUCCGGCGAGGUCGUCGGCUCUCGUCUAGCCAGUUGCCGGUGUCAACUAUGGCUAAGGCUGAUGACNNNNNNNNNNNNNNNNNNNNNNNNNNNNNNNNNNNNNNNNNNNNNNNNNNNNNNNNNNNNNNNNNNNNNNNNNNNNNNNNNNNNNNNNNNNNNNNNNNNNCGUCUGGUCGAAAACAGCCCAUGGACGUAAAAUGUGGGCAAUGUUAAUCGCGGGAGAUCGGACCACCCUGUGUAAGGAUCUCUCGGUUCAGAUUCCCGCGAUGCCCUUCUCCUAACGUAUUAGACUGGGUACAGGAAAAUGACGAGUGAAAUAAGUUUGCUGGGGGCACAAAAGGAGGGGUUGGUAAGGGUUGGCAUGGACCCCAUGGACUUUUAUUUUUUUAUCAGAAAAAUAAAUAAGGAAGGCUAGAAAGUGGGGGAAGAAACUAUGGAAAGAGAGUGAAGUAAAUGUGGGGGUGAGGGUUGGGGUGGACCACGGGGGUCUUUUCUUAUCAGAAAAAUAAAUAAGAAAAACUAUAAGGUGAUUUCGGAAAAUGAAAGUGUUGAAUGUUGAAUAAUAAUAAAAUUUGAUAAUUGUAAAAGAUUAUAGAUUUAUUUAAAUAAGUUAAUUCUAAUUUUUCUUAAUCAUUAGUUUUAUCAAUAAUUUUUGUUAGAGUUAGAAAUAUGUUCGUAUGGAUGCUAUAUGGCAUAUGGAAAGGGUGGCCUCACUUCUGGCGUUUCAUGUAUGGAAAGAGUGAUUAUUAAUGGCGCAUUUGGUAACGUUUUUGUUUCGGAGGACAAUUUUUGAAUAGAAAUAGUUUUUUUUUUUGUUCUAGGGAAUAAUUUUUGAGUAUAAGAAUGUGUUUGGUAACUGCAAACAAUUUCUACUCUAAAAAUAGAAACGCGCUUGGUAAACUUGUAUAAUUUCUUUGUUUCUUUUAAUUUUUUAAUAUUUUUAAUAUUUUUUUUCUUUUUUUCUUUUUUCUUUUUCUCUUUGGUCGGUUGCUGGCUAUGGCGAUGUCCGUUGAGCCUUGUCCAGGCAACGCGAGGUUCGCCUCGUGCCGAUUGGGGAGGUCAAGGCCUCUUGGCUUUGUCUGGGCUAAGCGAGGUUGACCUUGCCCAGCCACCGGCGAGACUCGGCCUCGCUGGGCCACCGCUAGGCGACUCUGUCCUGGAGGUGGCUCGGCGAGGUCGAGCCUCAUGCGGCCAUGGCGAGGCUCGGCCUCUCUGGGGGCUAGCGACACUCCGGCGAGGUCGUCGGCUCUCGUCUAGCCAGUUGCCGGUGUCAACUAUGGCUAAGGCUGAUGACUGGCAAAAGGAAGAAGAAGAAGAAGAAGAAGAAGAAAAGAAAGAGAAAAUAGAAGAAGAAAAAUGAUAAGAAAAAAAAGUGUUUUUCGAAAGUGUUCUCGAGAAUAAGAAAUAAGUUUUUUUUUUUAAUUUCUUAUUUUUGUUCCAAAGUUGCUCUCACAAUAAAAAAAAAAGACCAGAAUAAAAGUAUAAACAAAUGAGUUUCUAUUCUUUUUUGGUUCUCUGGAACAAAAUAAUAAAAAUUUAUAUUCCAGGAAAAAAAAAUAAUUUUAAACGAACACACCCUAAGAUAUCUUUUGUAUUCCGGGGAAGUAGUUCAAUUGACGUGAGCCCGUGCGUCUUCCCUACAUGGGAAGGGUCGUCACUGGGUCUCAUCUGACCUAAGCAAGUGCGUCUUCACAGCUUUUACCGCUCCCCUCCUACACUUCGUAGCUACCGCCACUCCCCUCCUAUAAAUCUCGGCUCGCCCGACGCCUUCGCCAUCGUCUCGGUGCAGUGCAGGGAACGAGCGAGCUCGAGCUAGACGACGGCAAUGGCGGCUUCGACGACGACGGUGAGGAGGAUCAAGCUGGGGUCGCAGGGCCUCGAGGUGUCGGUGCAGGGGCUGGGCUGCAUGGGCAUGUCCGCCUUCUACGGCCCUCCCAAGUCCGACACCGACAUGAUCGCCCUGAUCCACCACGCCGUUGGCUCCGGCGUCACCUUCCUCGACACCUCCGACAUCUACGGCCCCCACACCAACGAAACCCUCCUCGGAAAGGUCGGUUCUCUCUCAGUCUCUGUUUUGCCUCCGCAUGAAUUAUAUGUGCUUAUAGUGUUACGGAAUUUAGCUUCAUCGAGCAGAGUGCUCUGAUCCUGCGCCUUGGUUUUCUGAUUUCGGGGUUGAUUUUGAGCAGGCACUGAAGGGAGGGGUGAGGCAGAAGGUGGAAUUGGCGACCAAGUUCGGAAUCAGCUUCGCGGACGGGAAGAGGGAGGUCCGGGGCGAUCCGGCGUACGUGAGGGCGGCUUGCGAGGCCAGCUUGAAGCGGCUUGACAUCGAUUGCAUCGACCUCUACUACCAACAUCGCAUCGACACUCGCGUCCCCAUCGAAGUCACUGUAUGGAUCCCCCAUCAAACUUUCACCUCGCUUGAGACUUUCUCCGAGCCAUAUGAUUAGUUGCUAAGUUAGAUUGGUGUUGAUGAUGCAUCGUCAUGUUGUUACAAGUUUGUUGAAAUUUGUUAAAUGACACUUAAGUUCGGCUGAUAGCAGAGUUCAAGAUGCGGCACGUUGUUGUUCAAGGGGUUGUGGAAUUUAGUAGUUUAGUGGCUUGAGUUUUCGUUUUGUGGGCAUCUUUUACAAGUUAAGGGUCAACAAGCAUGAAAAUUAUUCAAAAUCUUCCUUUGAGAUGAAAGUGCUCCAGGGUUCAUCCAGAAUUUAUAUACGGGAAUCACAUAUAAAGUUGUUCCUGGACUUUAUGUGGAGACAUUUGAUUCUUGACAUAUUGUGAAAUAUGACAAGUACUUGGAAUACUUCUUUUAUUUGCUCUCUUCUGUGAGAGAUUCAAGAAAUCAACCUCCGUUAACUCAAUACCUUGUGACUUUUUUGUCGCAUUGAGAUGCAUGAUAAUAGAGGGAUCUAGACGCAUAAAAAGCUAAUGACAUGCAUAAUUUUCUGGAUCUUAACAUGUAAGAUCUUGAUGUUGUUGUUCUGUCAUGUGAAUAUGCACAGAUCGGAGAGCUAAAGAAGCUCGUUGAAGAAGGUAAGAUAAAGUACAUCGGUUUAUCCGAGGCCUCUGCAUCAACAAUCAGAAGAGCACAUGCUGUUCAUCCCAUCACAGCAGUGCAAUUGGAGUGGUCGCUUUGGUCAAGAGAUGUGGAGGCAGAGAUCGUUCCAACGUGCAGGUAGGAUAUCACUCUGUUAAUUGUUUAUGCAGCAACAACAGCUUCCUUCUGACUCUGCUUUUCCUUUAAAAUGCUGACUAGGGAGCUUGGCAUUGGAAUUGUUGCCUACAGUCCUUUAGGACGAGGAUUCUUUUCUGUUGGCUCCAAGUUGGUGGAGAAUAUCUCUAAGGAUGACUUCAGACAGGUCUGUUCCUGCUUGUCAACAUAAUUAGAUGUUUACAUUGACUGUCAUUCUUAUUGAAGUGCUGGAAACCUGUUCUUGUGGUAUAAAGAAAAAGUAUCUGGAUGGGAUGAAUAAAACUUGGUGACACGAAUGCUUCGUGUUCUUAUAUGUCUUUAAUCCAGCACUUGCCAGACAUCCCACCUCUCUUGAUUCUAGAUAAAUGUAAAAUCACAAGUAACGGCUUUAAUGAGCCUGAAAGAGGCAGUUUCCUGGAUUCUCGUGCUUUUGGGAAUGAAUACAUAUAGGUUUAUAUGUAAGUUGCUCUGUUUCCCAGCCUUCCCAACAUUUGCUUAUCACUAUCCUUUCCCCACUUUCCACCCACCCUUUUUCUCUCAUCUUUCUUCACAAGAAUAGCGAUAUUUCCUCGAAAUAACUGACGCCAGUAUCGGGCUUUGGCCCUCCGUCCUUUUUCAUUCUCAUCUUUCUUCACAAGAUAAACUAUAUCUUGACACAACCAUUUCUUGAGCGCGGACUCCCGACACCCUUCUUAUGAGAGUUUUGGAUCAAGUUCCCAUCUGACAUAAAGCCAAUUGUGUAUUACUCCCCGCCAUUAGCGUUUGACUAGCGAUAGUGCUGGGCAAGUGAAGUAGCUAUUUUUCUUUGUAGCUAAAAGAGCUCUGCGUCUGAUAACAUUCUUCUACUCAUCAUCUACAUUUCUGAUUUUUUAUUUUAUGUGACUAAUGGUAUCAUCACACGUACAAAACUUAGAUUGUCGAGUUUGUUUCUGUUUUCACAUCCUACAUCAAGCCCAUCAGCCUUGUGUGGUAGUUGCUAGAUCACUUCGCUUGACGUUUCUAAUGCUUAUGAUUUGGGACAUGAUAUUUUAAUCAUUUCAAGAUAAUUUAUAACUGAUCAUGCUUUUUCAGAUACACAACGAUUGCACACUUCUAAAUGCUUAUUAUGUCAAGUAACAAGACAAUCCGAUGGCAUGCAAUGCAACCACUUUUGCACUUGUUGCUGUAGAAUUUAGCCUUAAGAGGAAAAUGAUAAUUUCUCAUAUGCUCUCUGCUGAGACAUUGCUCUAUGUUAUGCAGUAUCUACCAAGGUUCCGGCCAGAGAACUUGGCUCACAACACGAAGUUAUUUGACCGAGUGAAUGAAAUUGCGCAAAGAAAGGGAUGCACCACAUCGCAGUUAGCCCUGGCCUGGGUACACCACCAGGGUGACGACAUUUGCCCGAUUCCCGGCACAACCAAGAUCGAGAAUUUCAACCAGAACAUUGGAGCUCUGUCAGUGAAGCUUACACCGGAAGAGAUGGCCGAGCUUGAAUCGAUUGCUUCUGCGGACAAUGUCAAGGGUGGCAGGUACGAUGGAAGCAUGUCUACAUGGGAAAACUCCGACACUCCACCCCUUUCUUCUUGGAAACCUGCCUAGAAGCGUGUCUGCUUCUGUUGCUGCAUCUUUGAUGUGCAGAGGUUGAGCAUUUGCCGCUGAAGUAAUUUGAGUUUAUGUUGUGUGGCUGUUAUAAGUAUGUGUAAUAAGAGAGUGACUGUUUUCAUUUUGUACAUGUGACAUUCACUAUGAUAAGAUUAUGGAUGUGUACUAACCUUACUGGGGAAAGAUCACUCGAUAAACACGAGAGCGAGUUGAAUACGAACUGAGCCUGCCGUGUCGACUUUAUUGGGGUGACUUUUAGAAUCUGAGAAAUCGGGAUUUUGAAGAAUUCAAACUCAGUCGUACAUACUAGAGUGGUAUUCUCCACCAACCAUGAGUUCAAUCUCUUAAGACUGGAUGCUGCACAUAGAUGCAAAGCUUCGCUUUGUGUUUGGUUUGGUAGCGAAGUUAAGGAACAGUAAAAUGUUACCGGAUGUUCUCGCGAAAACGAAGUUGGGGAUAAAAUGCUGGCGCGGAUGAUAUGAGCGUCGGGGAAAUCGAGGGUUUCUUGUUCAAGUUUCACCACCUACGGUUCAUGAGCUUUUAUGUAGCUCGAUACCUUCGCUCAAUGCCUCUGCAUUAUUAUAAAACAGUCGGAGAUAUUGCGCAAGUUUCCUAAAAUUAAAAACGACACUUCUAUUGUUUUUUAUUUGGAGUUAGAGUGGUGCAAUGUUGUUUUGUUUUGGUUUAGGAAAAUAACGCAAAUAGUCACUACACUUUGGUCCAAUGUGUUAUGUUCUUACUGAAUUUUUAACUUGUUUAAUAUGGUUGUCGAGCUUUUUGUAUAUGUUUAAUUUAAAUCCUAGGCUAGAUAAAUCCAAUGAUGCCGUGUUUGGUCGGUUCGAAGAUCGUUGCUAUAUGGGAUAAUGAUAGGAUAAAAAUCCCAUCUAAUAUUUCUUGACGUCUGGAUAUAACAUGAUUCAAAUAAUUUUUUUUUUAAACGAGUGUUUGAUUUGUAUAAUUAAAAUUAAAAAUAAACCAUGGAAGUCGUGAAUACUAUUCAUCCUUUCACAAUCUUCAUCCAUAUCAAGCACCCCCGUUCCAUGUGACUUCAAGGACGCUCGCUCCUUCUGCAACACCCCUUUCGCUGCCCUUGAUCAACUUGAUGGAUUACGCUCGCUCUGCCUUUUGACUUCGCCACAUUGAGAGGCCCUUGGGUUUGAGUUCUCCGCUGGUCUAGCCAUCUUUAUUUUCAACGCCUUUUCCUGCGAUGAAUCCAUCCCCCUCGACGAGUGUGAAUGCCGCGUUGAUUCCCUGUUACCGUGCUCCGACUUGUUCAGUCGCUUCAACAGCUUCCCCCGAGACAGCGUGCGGAUCCGGUUUAUGAGUGGUAGCAGCAUCGGUACUACUCGCUCCGAGUGACGUGGUUGAGGAGCUCUAUCACCUUGGCUGCCGCCUCUUUCGGAUCAUCUUCUUCACAGAGGAGGUGUCCAGCUUUGAUCGGGAUCACAAAUUUCCCUACUAAAAUGAAGUUGAGUGACACAAGAAAGAGGCAGGGCUGACGAGCUCCGCGAUACUCAUGCUCAUGCUCUAAUUUUGUGGUGGUCAUUUUAGCGAGACAAAUUGGAACAAGAGAGAGAUGAUGGUGGCACUGGUCAAAAGCGAGGAUAAGCUAUAAAAAGCGCCCCGCCGCCCGGGGGGGGGGGGGGGGGGGGGGGGGGGGUCAGUUUUUCAAAUUUCACAUAUUUUAUCUGGAUUUAUAUCACUUUCUAGAUGUGAUUUUUUAUCCGUGCUAUAUCCUAAUUUCACAUUACUCUAGACACCAUAUAGGAUUAAACUUAUCAUAUUAGAGUUUUAUCCAGCCCUUCAAAUGCAGUCUUAUGAGAUAGAAUGCAAUGAUAUAAUCUGUGAACUAAAUUUAAACAUUUAUUAAAAGUUUACGAACGGAAUUUCACAUUUUGAUUGUUAAGAUGCAUGAGUGAGUUAUGUUAAAAUAAUCACACAAUAUAUUGAUAGCUUUAAAAAUGGGCUUUCUCUUGGUGAUGACGUUGAUCCAUAUAGAGAAAUUAAUGAGAGGGUUUAUUUGGCCUAACUAAAUGGGAGGCUAUAUCAAUGGGAGGUUUUUCAUUGUAACAUUCCCUUGUGCUUGGAAUUUGUUUUUUAGUAAAGGAUUUUAUUAGCGUAAUAAUAGUCUUUGGGUUAUUAUGUGAAUAACAAUUUAUUGUGAGUCACAAAUUUUUUAAAGUAAUGAACCCCAUAAUAAUUUCAAUUAUUUGUUACUUGAUUUUUUGUAGUUUAGAAUAAAAAUUAUCACCAAGUUAUUUCUUUUUAACAAAUAUAUUGCUCUAACUGUUGUUUUCAAUUAAGUUUGCAUCGGAGAAGAGAUUAUUUUGUUUUGCUACGCUUGUCGGAUAUUGCACAGGAUAUUGUCAUUUUCUUAGCACUAGCAACGUUGCGUUCAGACAAGGCGGCAUGGAAUUAUUUGCUCAGCUGCACAUCACACGACCAUACAUUCAUGGACUGUUCCUCAGGAAAGCAUAUAGACAUGUGGCAGAUGCAGAACAUUUCACGAGAUUAAAAAAAAGAAAAUAAUUUUUAAAAAACAAUACUUUCGACUUCAAAACGUGCCAAUCGAACGCCUGCUACUCCCGCCUAUAAAGCUCGGCUCACCCAACGGCUUCGUUGUCGUCUCGAACUGUCCAUUCUCCAUUCUCUGUUCUUGCAUCGACCUCGAGCUAGACGAUGGUGGCAAUGGCGUCGUCAGACGGUGAGGAGGAUCAAGUUGGGGUCGUAGGGUCUCAAGGUCUCGGCGCAGGGGCUGGGCUUGCAUGGGCAUGUUGGAAGAUAUGCGGAUUGCCUGAUUUGAUUUGAUCUUAAUUGAUCAUGAUUAAUCACGAUCUUCAUGUAUAUGUAAAUUAAAAAUUAGAUCUAGAUCUCGAUUGAUAAUCCAGAUCAUUUACUUCCUUAUUCAAGAUAGAGCUUGUAUUAUAUCUCUGCAAAAUUGUACAUUCAGAUUGUAAUAGUGAUAAUACAGAAAAAUCUCCCCACAUCGAUUCCCAUUUUCCUCUCCAAACUUCAUCCGUUCUUCCUUCACUCUUGCCUUCUUUCAUGGUAUCAGAGCAGCUUUGAUCUCUGACUCGCUUCCGUUCCAAACCACUGCUGAAGAAAAUUCUCAACCUGCAAAAGGGUUGAUCUUUCGGCAUUAGGCAUACUCUCGAAGGAAGAAAUUUAAAUUAUCUUACUAUGGCCUCUCCGCAGGACUCCAGUCUGGCUGCUGACGACAGGACCACCGAAGAAAGUAGUCCUCAAGCUCCACAGAUCCAGAAUCUCCCUGCAGUAAUACCAGUAUCCACCCAACCCCAGCAGUGGCGGCCCACGCAGGCUCAGUUUCAAUUGGGGCAACCCACGACGGGUCAACCAUACUAGUGGAUCCCCUAUCCACUCUAUUUUGGGCCAAGCCCAAAUUUCUCAUCGCCUUUUUUCGUGGGCCACCAGAAUCACAAUGGAGGCCCGCCAGCCACGAAUGGGGCAAGCCCAUCCAUCGCGAGAGAGCAGACGGGCGGUUCAAGCGAAUCGGGUACGGGGCAUAAUCCCUACCCGGGACAUGUCAAUGCGGGGUAUCUAGUUGGAUUGAGCGAAUCGGGUCAAGGGACGAAUCCCUACCCGAAUUUCGCACCGGGUUUUCUGUCCAUUCCAGCGGCGGCGUUCACUGGGCGACUAGAAAUAGGCGAUCCUCUGUUUGUCUCCACCGCUGACGGAUCGGAGCUUUGACUGAUAAACCAGCAACUAACCGGACUAGAGACCUAUUCGAAGUGGUCACAGGAGCUCCGGCGGGCAUUGGUGACAAAAGACAAAGACGGAUUUCUCGAUGGGACAAUUUCCAUCCCCUCCGAUGAACGCCUAGCCGGACACUGGCGGAAAUGCAAUCAACUCGUCCGAAUGUGGAUCAGAAAUUGCAUAUCCCCAGAAGUCAUGGCUGGGCUUCCACCCACAGAGGAUGCCAAAACCAUGUGGGAAAACAUUCGAGAAAUAUACGGUAAAAUGGAUCAAGCAAAAGUUUUUAAUCUUAUGCAGGAAAUUAGCGAACUCAAACAGGGAAAUUCGACGGUCACGGCCUGCUUCAACAGGCUAUCGUCCCUCCUGAAUCAACUCGAAGCAGUAGAAGAAAAGCUCGAAGGGCCAGAAUCUACCCUCAAGCAGUACAAACAAAUCAAAGAGAGAGAAAAAGCCACGCGAUUCUUGCUGAUUUUAAACGAAUCGUACCUCACGUUUCGGUCACAGAUCCUUGUCAUGGAUCCCAUGCCACCGAUCGGACGUAUUUACAAACUGGCGAUGCAGGAGGAGAGUCAGCGACUCACAAUCACGAACAACGGUGAGAGCAUCGCUCUGGCUGCCCGCGGAGAGGGGAGAACCCUAACCCUAGCUCGUGAAAAUGAAAAGAAAAGCCCUUUAGGGUUCGACGAGCUCGAUUCGCGCGGGCUUAAAAGGGAUGGGAUGAACGGCCAGGAUUACAUGCAAGGAUCGAGCGGCUUAGAUUACUCCCGAAAAUAUGACGGCCCAGAUUACGCAUGGAGAUCCGACGGUCGUCAAGGAAUCGAAAUUGCGCCUGGAUUGGACGGUGGACAGCAGAUCGCGAUCAAAGGAACGGACGGCCAGAUCUUCACCACGUCAUCAAAGAAUUUCGCAAAUUUUUUUAAAGGAAAGGGGUAAAUUUUUUUGCGAUUAUUGCAAACGUACUAAUCAUACCAUUGACAGUUGCUGGAAAUUACACGGGAAGCCGGGAGAAAAGGAGAAAAAAAUUUCCACAGCUUAUCAAGUCACUGGACCAGCUGGUCCAAAAAUUGACCAGCCAAUCUCAUAUGGUCAAUAUCAGCAACUCAUGCAAAAACUACAGAAGAUGGAAAUUUCCAACAAAGGGGGCAAUUUCUCAGGUAUUUCACAUUGCCUAAUUAAUUCCAUUUCCAGGAAGGCGUGGAUUAUAAUUCUGGGGCAAGUGACCAUAUUAUACGCGACAAGGGAUUUUUUUUUCAAAUAUAAAUGAAAGUUUGAAUUUUCCUGUCUCCGUACAAUUACCCAACGGAAAUGUUACUCAUGUCAAAGUGAUAGGAACAGUGAAUCUCAGUCCUCAGAUUAUUCUCUAGAAUGUGCUAUAUGUCCCAGAAUUCCAAUUCAACCUCAUAUCUGUGUCUCAAGUCUGCAAAGAGAACUCAUGCCGGGUAAUAUUCAAUGCUGACACAUGUUUAUUUCAGGCCCUUUCGACUGGAAGACAGAUGGACUUGGGUAAUCUUUCUGAAGGACUCUAUUUCUGGACGAGUUUUCCAAGUAAUUUCAAUUUUCCAUGCAAUUCCUUGAAUAAAAAAUCAUUGUGUAAUUCAACUGCCAAUGAUAGAAAUUUGACUAUGCAUAUGAGAUUGGGUCACAGUGCUUCAUUUUCAUAUCAUGAAUGUCUUAUAUGUCCCCUUGCAAAGCAAUCUCGCACACCAUUUUCUUCUAGUACUUCACGGACUAGUCAAAUAUUUGCAUUACUUCACGUGGACAUUUGGGGACCUUAUCAUACAGUCAAUCAUGAUGGCUCCCGUUAUUUUCUUACGAUAGUAGAUGACUAUUCUCGGGCAACAUGGAUCUUCCUAAUACAAUAAAAAAAUUAGGUCUAUUCUCACCUGAAAAAUUUCAUUAUGCUAUCUAAGAACCAAUUCAGGAAAUCCAUUCAGCGGAUUCGCACAGAUAACGGGAGAGAAUUCUUCAGUCAUGAAUGCUCCCAGUUAUUCAAUUCUCAUGGUAUUCGACACGAAAGUUCCUGCAUUUACUCACCACAACAAAAUGGAGUGGUUGAAAGAAAGCAUCGCCAUCUACUGGAAGUGGCUCGUGCCUUGAAAUUUCAAGCAUCAAUUCCAGAAAGAUAUUGGGGUGACUGUGUCACCAUAGCAGCUUAUCUUAUUAAUAGAAUGCCUACUCGGAUUCUUAAUGGACAGAUGCCAUUCGAGCUGUUAUUUGGGAAGAAACCGGACUUGAAUCAUCUCAAGAUCUUCGGAUGUCUCUGCUAUGCUGCAAUCAUGGGGCCUCGAGAUAAAAUGAGCCCAUGUGCGCGGCGAUGCGUCUUUAUGGGAUAUCCCAAUCUCCAGAAGGGGUAUCGGGUGCUUGAGAUUUCCACAGGAGAAUUCAUAGUAAGUCAUGAUGUCAUUUUCCAUGAAACUACUUUUCCAUUUUAUGAAGGGGAAUCUUCACAUGGAGAUCCAAAGAUAACUUCCAGCCAUCAUAAUUUUCUCAAUGAUGAAGCACCAUACCGGGAUCUUUCCUAUGUACCAAUAGUACAGCCGAGGGAUCCUAUUCUUCCUACAGUCCCAGUUCUACAAGAUUCUAAUGGAAAUUCGAAUUCUUCAGAACAUAUUCAGGGAGAUAUCUUGGAGGAACCCAUUGCUGAUGCAGAAGUUGAUGACACUACAACAACUUCAUUACCAGCAACAUCACAGCCCACCACCGAAGCUGGACAUCCUAGGAGGUCUGAACGAGCUACAAGACCACCAACCCGGACGAAAGAUUAUGUCUGUACUACUCACAACUCUCCAAGUAUUCAGUAUCCAGUCUCUUCAUAUGUUUCCUUUGAUAGAUUGUCUCAAGAACAUAGAUGUUGUAUUAGUCGAUUGUUUGAAGAGAAAGAACCGUCCAGUUAUAAAGAAGCCUCCAAUAACCCAAAAUGGCAAGAGACCAUGAAGGCAGAAUUGAAGGCCCUUACUGAUAAUCAUACAUGGGAUCUUGUUCCAUUACCAGCUCAUCGUAAACCAAUUGGAUGCAAAUGGGUUUACAAAAUCAAGUAUCGGGCUGAUGGCUCCAUUGAACGGUACAAGGCAAGAUUGGUAGCUAAGGGGUUCACCCAAAGAGAAGGUUUUGACUACCACGAGACGUUCUCACCAGUUGCCAAAGAUGUUACAGUCCGUUCAUUCUUAGCUGUUGCUGCCAUCAAUGACUGGCACCUACACCAGAUGGAUGUCCAUAAUGCUUUUCUCCAUGGCAAUCUAGAUGAAGAGAUCUACAUGAAUAUUCCUCAAGGCAUACAGAGACAGGGGGAUAAUAAGGUGUGUCGUCUCCGUAAAUCCCUUUAUGGAUUAAAACAGGCAUCCGGACAAUGGUAUGCUAAAUUUGCCAGUGCUCUUACAACAGCAGGCUUCAAGCAAUCCAAGCAUGAUUAUGCUCUGUUCUAAAAAACUAAAGGUAUGUCAUCUAUCUAUUUGAUGAUUUAUGUCGAUGACAUACUUGUUAUGGGAAAUGAUAGAGCCUCUAUAGAGAAUUUCAAGGAAUAUUUGCAUGCUACCUUCCAUAUUAAAGACUUAGGAGCACCAAAAUAUUUCCUUGGAAUCGAAGUUGCUCGAUCUGACAAGGGAAUUUCCCUUAGUCAGCGGAAGUUCAUUCUAGAAAUCAUAUCAGAAGUAGGUCUAUUAGGAUGCAAGCUAGCUGUAAUUCCUAUAGAGCAAAACACUAAGUUGACCAUCGCAGACUAUGAUAAGGGAAUAUUUCGAAAUGAUGAUUCCUUACUCAGUGAUCCGUCAGGCUAUCAAAGACUUGUUGGGAAACUUAUAUACCUGACAAUGACUAGACCUGAUAUCUUAUAUGCGGUUCAGACACUUAGCCAGUUUAUGCAUCAACCAAAGCGUUCUCAUUUGGAUGCAGCCUUAAAGGUCGUUAAAUAUCUCAAGAAAUGUCCGGGGCUAGGGAUACUUCUCUCUAAGGAAUGUGACAUGAGGAUGACAGCAUAUUGUGAUGCAGACUAUGCAACAUGUCCGAUUAGUCGAAGAUCUGUUACUGGAUAUUGCAUUAAAUUGGGAGGAUCUCUUCUAUCUUGGAAAACCAAGAAACAAGCUACUGUGUCUCUGUCCUCAGCCGAAGCAGAAUAUCGAGCUGUGGCCAAGGCCACUUGUCAAGUAGUUUGGAUGCGAGGAUUACUCAAGGAUCUUGGAGUAGAAGUGCAAGGACCCACAAGGUUAUAUUGUGAUAAUGAUACAGCUCUUAAACUUGCAACUAAUCCUAUAGUACAUGAAAGAACCAAGCAUAUAGAAGUGGAUUGUCACUUCACACGGGAAAAGAUCCAGGAAGGAGUAAUUGAGACGAGGAAUUUGGACAACGGAGCAACCAGUAGACUUGUUCACCAAGCCCCUAUGUCAGAGGCAACAUGCAUAUCUAUUAAAAAAGCUAGGCGUCUUGGACAUCUACAAGCCACCAGCUUGAGGGGGAGUGUUGGAAGAUAUGUGGAUUGCCUGAUUUGAUUUGAUCUUAAUUGAUCAUGAUUAAUCACGAUCUUCAUGUAUAUGUAAAUUAAAAAUUAGAUCUAGAUCUAGAUUGAUAGUCUAGAUCAUUUACUUCCUUAUUCAAGAUAGAGCUUGUAUUAUAUCUCUGCAGAAUUGUACAUUCAGAUUGUAAUAGUGAUAAUACAGAAAAAUCUCCCCACAUCGAUUCCCAUUUUCCUCUCUAAACUUCAUCCGUUCUUCCUUCACUCUUGCCUUCUUUCAGGGCAUAUCUACUUUGCCGGCCCUCCCAAGCCCAACCCCGACACGAUCGAGCUUGUCCACCACGCCGUUGAAUCUGGCGUUGCCUUCCUCGACACCUCCGACAUCUAUGGCCUUAACGCCAAGGAAGUCCUCCUUGGAAAGGUCGGUAUUUAUUUUGUAGAUAUAAUUGAAGAUCUUGAUCGUGACGCCAAUCCUAAUUGCGGACUAAUUGAUUUGGUCAAUUUGUGAUUGUUUAGUGAAUAUGGAAAUUUUUGUAAUUCUUUAUAUAUUAUUUCAUUUUUUCUCUUUCAUUCUUACACUAUAAAUAGACCAAUGAACUAAUAUACAGAUCAAUCAAUAUACAACAAAAUUUUCUUCAUUUUCUCUUUUGUUUUCUAUUAUGUUAUCAGUGUCAUUCUUCCUCGCCUAGCUUCCCAUAUCUUAGAGUUGCCUUUCUUUUUUUCUUUGUUUUUUUUUUUUUUUUGGUUAUUGCAAGUCCUCAUCCUGCAAUACAAAUCAGCAAAUCGAUUAGGAAUUCAAUUUUUUUUUUCAAUACCAAGGCAAAAAAUAAGAACACUGAGAGCUCCAUGAUAGAGGAGACACCUACCUCACCUCAAAAUCAAGCCCCAUCGCCGUCGGAUUCGAUUAUGAUUUGGGACAAUAUAUUUUAAUCAUUUCGAGAUAAUCUUUAACUGAUCAUGCUCUUCCAGAUACACAGCAAUUGCGCACUUCCAAAUGCUUAUUAUGUCAAGUAACAUGACAAUCUGAUGGCAUGCAACGCAACCAAUUUUGCACUCGUUGAUGUAGAAUUUGGCGUUAAAAGGAAAAUGAUGGUUGCUCGUAUGCUCUCUGCUUAGACAUUGCUUUAUGUUAUGAAGUACCUACCAAGGCUGCGGCCAGAGAACUUGGCUAAUGCAAAGUUAUUCGACCAAGUGAAUGAAAUUGCACAAAGAAAGGGAUGCACCCCAUUGCAGUUAACCCUCGCCUGGGUACACCACUGGAGUGAUGACGUUUGCCCGAUUACCGGCACGAUCAAGAUCGAGAAUUUCAACCAGAACAUUGGAGCUCUGUCAGUGAAGCUUUCGCCAGAAGAGAUGGCCAAGCUCAAAUCGAUUGCUUAUACGGACAAUGUCAGGCGUGAGAAUUAAAACCACAUUUGAUACUAAAUUAUGCCUAGGUAGGAAUUCAAAACUCCACCUCCCGCUUUUCAUGUGGGAAGGUUGGCCCCACCUCGCGCUUAUGGAAAGAGUAAUCACGAAGACAUCACAAUAGUUCAAUUGACGUGAGCAGGUACGUCUUCCCUACAUGGUAAGGGUCGUCACUGGGCGUGCAAUUGACGUAAGCACGUGCGUCUUCACAGCCACUACCGCUCCCCUCCUACUCAUCGUAGCUUCUGCCACUACCCUCCUAUAAAUCUCGGCUCGCCCGACGACUUCGCCAUCGUCUCGGUGCAGUGCAGGGAACGAUCGAGCUCGAGCUAGACUACGGCAAUGGCGGCAUCGACGACGACGGUGAGGAGGAUCAAGCUGGGGUCGCAGGGCCUGGAGGUGUCGGCGCAGGGGCUGGGCUGCAUGAGCAUGUCCGCCUUCUACGGCCCUCCCAAGUCCGAGCCCGACAUGAUCGCCCUCAUCCACCACGCCGUCGGCUCCGGCGUCACCUUCCUCGACACCUCCGACUUCUACGGUCCUCACACCAACGAAAUCCUCCUCGGAAAGGUCGUUCUCUCAGUCUCUCUUUUGCCUCUGCAUGAAUUAUAUAUGCUUAUGGUUUUACGGAACUUAGCUUCAUCGAGCAGGAUGCUCUGAUCCUGCGCCUUGGUUUUCUGAUUUCGGGGUUGAUUUUGAGCAGGCACUGAAGGGAGGGGUGAGGCAGAAGGUGGAAUUGGCGACCAAGUUCGGAAUCAGAUUGGCGGACGGGAAGAGGGAGAUCCAGGGCGAUCCGGCGUACGUGAGGGCUGCUUGCGAGGCCAGCUUGAAGCGGCUCGACAUCGAUUGCAUCGACCUCUACUACCAGCACCGUAUCGACACUCGCGUCCCCAUUGAAGUCACUGUAUGGAUCCCUUAUCAAACUUUCACCUCGCUUGAGACUUUCUCUGAGCCAUACGAUGCAUCGUCAUGUUGUUACAAGUUUGUUGAAUUUUGUUAAAUGACACUUAAGUUCAGCUGAUAGCAGAGUUCAAGAUGCGGCACGGUGUUGUUCAAGGGUUGUGGAAUUUAGUAGUUUAGUGGCUUGAGUUUUCGUUUUGUGGGAAUCUUUUACAAGUUAAGGGUCAACAAGCAUGGAAAUUAUUCGAAAUCUUCCUUUGAGAUGAAAGUGCUCCGGGGUUCAUCCUGAAUUUAUAUACGGGAAUCACAUAUAAAGUUGUUCCUGGACUUUAUACGGAGACAUUUGAUUCUUGACAUAUUGUGAAAUAUGACAAGUACUUGGAAUACUUCUUUUAUUUGCUCUCUUCUGUGAGAGAUUCAAGAAAUCUACCUCCGUUAACUCAAUUCCUUGUGGGUUUUUUGUCGCAUUGAGAUGCAUGAUAAUUGAGGGAUCUAGACACAAAAAGCUAAUGACAAAAAUAAUUUUCUGGAUCUUAACAUGUAAGAUCUUGAUGUUGUUGUUCUGUCAUGUGAAUAUGCACAGAUCGGAGAGCUAAAGAAGCUCGUUGAAGAGGGUAAGAUAAAGUACAUCGGUUUAUCCGAGGCCUCUGCAUCAACAAUCAGAAGAGCACAUGCUGUUCAUCCCAUCACAGCAGUGCAAUUGGAGUGGUCGCUUUGGUCCAGAGAUGUGGAGGCGGACAUCGUUCCAACGUGCAGGUAGGAUAUCACUCCGUUAAUUGUUUAUGCAGCAACAACAGCUUCCUUCUGACUCUGCUUUUCCUUUAAAAUGUUGACUAGGGAGCUUGGCAUUGGAAUUGUUGCCUACAGUCCUUUAGGACGAGGAUUCUUUUCUGUUGGCUCCAAGUUGGCGGAGAAUUUCUCAAAGGAUGACUUCAGACAGGUCUGUUUCUGCUGGUCGACAUAAUUAGAUGCUCACAGUGACUGUCAUUCUCAUUGAAGUGCUGGAAACCUGUUCUUGUGGUAUAAAGAAAAGUUUCUGGAUGGGAUGAAUAAAACUUGGUGACACAAAUGCAUCACGUUCUUAUAUGUCUUCAAUCCAGCACUCGCCAGACAUACUACCUCUCUCGAUUCUAGAUAAAUGUAAAAUCACAAGUAAUGGCUUUAGUGAGCCUGAAAGAGGUAGGUUCCCGGAUUCUCAUUCUUUUGGGAAUGAAUACAUAUAGGUUUAUAUGUAAGUUGCUCUGUUUCCCAGCCUUCCCAACAUUUGCUUAUCACUAUCCUUUCCCCACUUUCCACCCACCCUUUUUCUCUCAUCUUUCUUCACAAGAUUAGCGAUAUUUCCUCGAAAUAACUGACGCCAGUAUCGGGCUCUGGCCUUCCGUCCUUUUUCAUUCUCAUCUUUCUUCACAAGAUAAACUAUAUCUUGACACAACCAUUUCUUGAGUGAGGACUCACGACACCCUUCUUAUGAGAGUUUUGGAUCAAGUUCCCAUCUGACAUAAAGCCAAUUGUGUAUUACUCCCUGCCAUUAGCGUUUGACUAGCGAUAGCGCUGGGCAAGUGAAGUAGCUAUUUUUCUUUGUAGCUAAAAGAGCUCUGCGUCUGAUAACAUUCUUCUACACAUCAUCUACAUUUCUGAUUUUUUAUUUUAUGUGUGACUAAUGGUAUCAUCACACGUACAAAACUUAGAUUGUCGAGUUUGUUUCUGUUUUCACAUCCUACAUCAAGCCCAUCAGCCUUGUGUGGUAGUUGCUAGAUCACUUCGCUUGACGUUUCUAAUGCUUAUGAUUUGGGACAUGAUAUUUUAAUCAUUUCAAGAUUAUUUAUAACUGAUCAUGCUUAUCCAGAUAGACAACGAUUGCACACUUCUAAAUGCUUAUUAUGUCAAGUAACAAGACAAUCUGAUGGCAUGCAAUGCAACCACUUUUGCACUUGUUGCUGUAGAAUUUAGCCUUAAAAGGAAAAUGAUAAUUGCAAUUGCUUUCUGCUGAGACAUUGCUCUAUGUUAUGCAGUAUCAUCCAAGGUUCCAGCCAGAGAACUUGGCUCACAACACGAAGUUAUUUGACCGAGUGAAUGAAAUUGCGCAAAGAAAGGGAUGCACCCCAUCUCAGUUAGCCCUGGCCUGGGUACACCACCAUGGUGACGACAUUUGCCCGAUUCCCGGCACAACCAAGAUCGAGAAUUUCAACCAGAACAUUGGAGCUCUGUCAGUGAAGCUUACACAGGAAGAGAUGGCCGAGCUUGAAUUGAUUGCUUCUGCGGACAAUGUCAAGGGUGGCAGGUAUGAUGGAAGCAUAUCUACAUGGGAAAACUCCGACACUCCACCCCUUUCUUCUUGGAAACCUGCCUAGAAGCGUGUCUGCUUCUGUUGCUGCAUCUUUGAUGUGCAGAGUUUGAGCAUUUGCCGCUGAAGUAAUUUGAGUUGAUGUUGUGUGGCUGUUAUAAGUAUGUGUAAUAAGAGAGUGACUGUUUUCAUUUUGUACAUGUGACAUUCACUAUGAGAAGAUUAUGGAUGUGUACUAACCUUACUGGGGAAAGAUCACUCGAUAAACACGAGAGCGAGUUGAAUAUGAACUGAGCCUGCCUUGUCGACUUUAUGGGGUGACUUUUAGAAUCAAUUGGGAUUUUGAAGAAUUCAAACUCAGUCGUACAUACCGCUGGAAAUAUGGCUUCGAAAUUGGGUAGAACAAUGAAAUCGGAUCGAGUAAAAUAACUCGGACUUUGAGGCGCGAUAUCACUUUCUUUAAGGAUUUAUUUACCCCACAACGUUGCUAAUGGUCACCAGCAAAAAUCCUCCAGGAUACAACAAAGUCUCGGAUGAGAAUACUAGAUAGCAAUUCAAGUAUUUCUCCAGGGUCUCUCUAAGAAACAAUCGAAAAAUUGGAUGCUGUUUUUCAGAAAGGAAUACUCGAAAAUGACACUCUUUUUCUUUCCGAAAAUGAUAGAUAUAUAUAUGAAACAGUCUUGCNNNNNNNNNNNNNNNNNNNNNNNNNNNNNNNNNNNNNNNNNNNNNNNNNNNNNNNNNNNNNNNNNNNNNNNNNNNNNNNNNNNNNNNNNNNNNNNNNNNNUUUUUUUUUUUUAUUUCUUAUUUUUGUUCCAAAGUUGCUCUCACAAUAAAAAAAAAAAAGACCAGAAUAAAAGUAUAAACAAAUGAGUUUCUGUUCUUUUUUGGUUCUCUAGAACAAAAUAAUAAAAAUUUAUAUUUCGGGAAAAAAAAUAAUUUUAAAUGAACACACCCUAAGAUAUCUUUUGUAUUCCGGGGAAGUAGUUCAAUUGACGUGAGCCCGUGCGUCUUCCCUACAUGGGAAGGGUCGUCGCUGGGUCUCAUCUGACCUAAGCAAGCGCGUCUUCACAGCUAUUACCGCUCCCCUCCUACACUUCGUAGCUACCGCCACUCCCCUCCUAUAAAUCUCGGCUCGCCCGACGCCUUCGCCAUCGUCUCGGUGCAGUGCAGGGAACGAGCGAGCUCGAGCUAGACGACGGCAAUGGCGGCUUCGACGACGACGGUGAGGAGGAUCAAGCUGGGGUCGCAGGGCCUCGAGGUGUCGGCGCAGGGGCUGGGCUGCAUGAGCAUGUCCGCCUUCUACGGCCCUCCCAAGUCCGAGCCCGACAUGAUCGCCCUCAUCCACCACGCCGUCGGCUCCGGCGUCACCUUCCUCGACACCUCCGACGUCUACGGUCCUCACACCAACGAAAUCCUCCUCGGAAAGGUCGUUCUCUCAGUCUCUGUUUUGCGUCCGCAUGAAUUAUAUGUGCUUAUAGUGUUACGGAAUUUGGCUUCAUCGAGCAGAGUGCUCUGAUCCCGCGCCUUGGUUUUCUGAUUUCGGGGUUGAUUUUGAGCAGGCACUGAAGGGAGGGGUGAGGCAGAAGGUGGAAUUGGCGACCAAGUUCGGAAUCAGCUUCGCGGACGGGAAGAGGGAGGUCCGGGGCGAUCCGGCGUACGUGAGGGCGGCUUGCGAGGCCAGCUUGAAGCGGCUUGACAUCGAUUGCAUCGACCUCUACUACCAACAUCGCAUCGACACUCGCGUCCCCAUCGAAGUCACUGUAUGGAUCCCCCAUCAAACUUUCACCUCGCUUGAGACUUUCUCCGAGCCAUAUGAUUAGUUGCUAAGUUAGAUUGGUGUUGAUGAUGCAUCGUCAUGUUGUUACAAGUUUGUUGAAAUUUGUUAAAUGACACUUAAGUUCGGCUGAUAGCAGAGUUCAAGAUGCGGCACGUUGUUGUUCAAGGGGUUGUGGAAUUUAGUAGUUUAGUGGCUUGAGUUUUCGUUUUGUGGGCAUCUUUUACAAGUUAAGGGUCAACAAGCAUGAAAAUUAUUCAAAAUCUUCCUUUGAGAUGAAAGUGCUCCAGGGUUCAUCCAGAAUUUAUAUACGGGAAUCACAUAUAAAGUUGUUCCUGGACUUUAUGUGGAGACAUUUGAUUCUUAACAUAUUGUGAAAUAUGUCGAGUACUUGGAAUACUUAUUUUAUUUGCUCUCUUCUGUGAGAGAUUCAAGAAAUCUACCUCCGUUAACUCAAUACCUUGUGACUUUUUUGUCGCAUUGAGAUGCAUGAUAAUAGAGGGAUCUAGACGCAUAAAAAGCUAAUGACAUGCAUAAUUUUCUGGAUCUUAACAUGUAAGAUCUUGAUGUUGUUGUUCUGUCAUGUGAAUAUGCACAGAUCGGAGAGCUAAAGAAGCUCGUUGAAGAAGGUAAGAUAAAGUACAUCGGUUUAUCCGAGGCCUCUGCAUCAACAAUCAGAAGAGCACAUGCUGUUCAUCCCAUCACAGCAGUGCAAUUGGAGUGGUCGCUUUGGUCAAGAGAUGUGGAGGCAGAGAUCGUUCCAACGUGCAGGUAGGAUAUCACUCUGUUAAUUGUUUAUGCAGCAACAACAGCUUCCUUCUGACUCUGCUUUUCCUUUAAAAUGCUGACUAGGGAGCUUGGCAUUGGAAUUGUUGCCUACAGUCCUUUAGGACGAGGAUUCUUUUCUGUUGGCUCCAAGUUGGUGGAGAAUAUCUCUAAGGAUGACUUCAGACAGGUCUGUUCCUGCUUGUCAACAUAAUUAGAUGCUUACAUCAACUGUCAUUCUUAUUGAAGUGCUGGAAACCUGUUCUUGUGGUAUAAAGAAAAAGUAUCUGGAUGGGAUGAAUAAAACUUGGUGACACGAAUGCUUUGUGUUCUUAUAUGUCUUUAAUCCAGCACUUGCCAGACAUCCCACCUCUCUUGAUUCUAGAUAAAUGUAAAAUCACAAGUAAUGGCUUUAAUGAGCCUGAAAGAGGCAGUUUUCUGGAUUCUCGUGCUUUUGGGAAUGAAUACAUAUAGGUUUAUUUGUAAGUUGCUCUGUUUCCCAGCCUUCCCACCAUUUGCUAAUCACUAUCCUCUCCCCACUUUCCACCCACCCUUUUUCUCUCAUCUUUCUUCACAAGAUUAGCGAUAUUUCCUCAAAAUAGCUGACGCCAGUAGCGGGCUUUGGCCCUCCGUCCUUUUUCAUUCUCAUCUUUCUUCACAAGAUAAACUAUAUCUUGACACAACCAUUUCUUGAGUAAGGACUCCUAGCACCCUUCUUAUGAGAGUUUUGGAUCAAGUUCCCAUCUGACAUAAAGCCAAUUGAGUAUUACUCCCCGCCAUUAGCAUUUGACUAGCGAUAGUGCUGGGCAAGUGAAGUAGCUAUUUUUCUUUGUAGCUAAAAGAGCUCUGCGUCUGAUAACAUUCUUCUACACAUCAUCUACAUUUCUGAUAUUUAUUUUAUGUGUGACUAAUGGUAUCAUCACACAUACAAAACUUAGAUUGUCGAGUUUGUUUCUGUUUUCACAUCCUACAUCAAACCCAUCAGCCUUGUGUGGUAGUUUCUAGAUCACUUCGCUUGACGUUUCUAAUGCUUAUGAUUUGGGACAAGAUAUUUUAAUCAUGUCAAGAUAAUUUAUAACUGAUCAUGCUUUUCCAGAUACACAACGAUUGCGCACUUCUAAUGCUUAUUAUGUCAAGUAACAAGACAAUCCGAUGGCAUGCAAUGCAACCACUUUUGCACUCGUUGCUGUAGAAUCUAGCCUUAAAAGGAAAAUGAUAAUUGCUCAUAUGCUCUCUGCUGAGACAUUGCUCUAUGUUAUGCAGUAUCUACCAAGGUUCCGGCCAGAGAACUUGGCUCACAACACGAAGUUAUUUGACCGAGUGAAUGAAAUUGCGCAAAGAAAGGGAUGCACCACAUCGCAGUUAGCCCUGGCCUGGGUAUACCACCAGCGUGAUGAUGUUUGCCCAAUUCCCGGCACGACCAAGAUCGAGAAUUUCAACCAGAACACUGGAGCUAUGUCAGUGAAGCUUACACCGGAAGAGAUGGCCGAGCUUGAAUCGAUUGCUUCUGCGGACAAUGUCAAGGGUGGCAGGUACGAUGGAAGCAUGUCUACAUGGGAAAACUCCGACACUCCACCCCUUUCUUCUUGGAAACCUGCCUAGAAGCGUGUCUGCUUCUGUUGCUGCAUCUUUGAUGUGCAGAGUUUGAGCAUUUGCCGCUGAAGUAAUUUGAGUUUAUGUUAUGUGGCUGUUAUAAGUACGUGUAAUAAGAGAGUGACUGUUUUCAUUUUGUACAUGUGAUAUUCACUAU
Molecule: long non-coding RNA, 54954 nt
Filed under: Eucalyptus grandis
Lineage: Eukaryota; Viridiplantae; Streptophyta; Magnoliopsida; Myrtales; Myrtaceae
Description: long non-coding RNA (EGRA_LNC004551)
Source: RNAcentral